GCAAACCAACAAACAGCUUUAUGUUAACUUUUACAAACUGCCACAUUUUCAGGUUGAACGAUCAGACAUAAAUCUUGGUGAAACUAGAAGUAAUACAACCUGUGCUGUGGAGAUAAAAGAAAGGGCAGCAGCACUGGUGGCUGCAGAAAUUGAGGCAUGUAGAGACAAUAGAACCCCCGAGAUACCUCUGCAUAAGAAAGUCCAGAAAGAGUGGGCUUGUGCUGUAUGCCAGUUCACAACCCAAAGUGAAGUGACCUUCAAUUCCCACCUUCAAGGGAAGAGACAUCAGGCCACUUCUGAGCAGUUGAGAGCCAAAAACCAGGCAACCAAAACCAAUUGUUCCCCAUCUGCUUCAAAGGCCAAGAAAUCUGAUCAGUCCACCAAAGAGGAGCAACCAAAGUGUCCUUCCAACAAUCUGAAUUCCAAAAACAAUGGAAUCUCAGCUGCUUCAACAGUGAAGAAACCUGACGAGACCAAAGAUGAUGAGCAACAAAAGUGUGCAUCCAGCAAUGGACCAAACCAGAAGAAUAACAAAAAGCAAGAGGAGAAGGUGCUAGUUCUUGAGACCAAUGAGCAAGGCCAUCAGAAUAAUUUUGAUCCACGAUCCCACAUUUAUUUUGGGUCUCACAAGUUUCAAAUUUGCAGAAAAAUGAAAGAUGUUUGAGAGAAAAUUAAAUCAUAUUGCACUACUGUUAGGAAAAAUAUGGCUGAAUCCAAUUGCUUUUCUUCUCCAAGUCUAUUAAAAAUAUAAUUUUUUCUCCAUUCCUGACAAAAUUUAAAUUUUUUCCUUAAAAAAAAAAAAAUUAAGUUUGAUCACCUAACACAUCUUUCUAAACUCAAUCUCAACUUGAAAAAUCAAACCUUAAUGGAUGGACUAUAGAAAUAGUGAGAAAACACUUCUGGGGUUUUUUUUUUCUUCCAACAUCAAAUUUUUCUAUAUAUGGGAUUUCACAUGCAAAAGCAGGAGUAGAUUUGCUUGUGUUUGAUGUAUGUAUUAGAAAAAUUUGUCCCUUCUGGGAUGUUUAAUACUUUUCUAUUCUUUUAUAUGCAUGUUUAGCUAGAAGAUAUAGAAUCGAUACCAUUCCUUAAAAGUGAUAGCCACAACUGUGAUAAUUAAACACCAAAGAAUGUGAAGAUCUAUAUAUUCUUUUUUUUUUCCUCUCUCUUUCAAUAAUGAAGCUAAGAUGUGUUGUAAGCAUCAAAUGCAUUGUCUCUGCUUGAAUAUAUACAAAGCCAAGGACCACAAGAUGGAUAGAUAUGGGGACGCACAAAACUUCUCAAACAUGAUUAUAUUAAUCAAGAAUUCAACUAAGCUUAAAUUCAAGAUGUUGAUUUCUAGCAUCUCUGGUGCUAUAGGAUGACUAUUGAUCCUGUACUGUUAUGUGCCCUACUGAUAUAUUCUUCGGGUUGUUAUGUAUAAAUAAAAUUUUUGGGAAAGUUUGCUUGGUGGUUACACUAUCACUAUUUAGGCCAGUAAAAAUUGGAAGCCUUUGUAAAAAACUGAUGGUCCAAGAGCUAUUCUACUUCAUCAUCCAUGUAAUAUGACGAUACAAAUUUGACUAAAUGCAGCUAUAGAAGGCUUAGGACCAUAAACCAAGCCUAGUCGAUGUCACUCACCUAAAUUUAUGCAUAAAGCUUUUGGAUGGCUCAGAGUUAUAUUUAAUUACUGUUAUGUUCGCAACUAUAUUUUCAUUGGAUUUAUAGUCCAGCUUGAGAACUAGUCCUCCAUUGCACAUAAUGUCCACACAAGGCCACAGUGCCCGCUCAAAGGCCAUAGCGCUACUCAAGGAUAUAGUGCUUACUCAAGGCCAUAGAGCCCACCUAAGGCUAACGACCCAAAAGGAGAAAAAGGUUGGUUCCACGUACUCUAAUAUUUACUAGAAAAGGUUCUUCCUAUUAAAGAACAAAAAAUUGCAUUCCCUUGUGACCAAUCCAAACAGUAGACCACUGACUUGUAUAAGGCAUUAUUCACCAUGCAAGCACUUUUUCAGCAACCUACCAUCUGGCAUGAACCAUUUUGGAUUGAUUCACAAAGCAAUGGUGUUAUAUUAAGCAUAUUCAAUAUAGAACCAAAUUGUGCCUCCUUAGAUUAACUAAAAUAUUUCCAUUGCAAGAUGUGCAGAUAGGCAUAUGAUCAUGAAGUAAUUUCCUGAUGAUAAUACCCCACAAAAUAUUUCUUUUUCUCACUGAUCUCUCCUAGAUUUUCAGUUCACCCAUCCAUGGCGCCUGACUAAAAAUGGGGGCAUUUUGGAUACCCCGAGCAGUAAGUUAGCCUGGUAGGCAUCCCGUUGCAAGCAAAGUCAACCCGAGCGGUCCAUUUGACCAAAGCUUAUCCAGGCAGUAAGCGUCCAUAUACAGCUAACUGUUAUGCACCAUCAACAGGUUGAGGUUACAAGAUUAAAGAGUCAUAAUGGCCAAAUGGAAGUUACACGACUCGGCCUAUAUAAUAACAGUAUGACAAAAAAUGCAGGUAUGAAGAACUAUCACUGAAAAAAUUUAUUCCUAAAAAUCCUUUAAGCUCCUUUAAGCUAACUUGGGCAUUGGAGAGGUCUCUCCGAAGCACACUCGAGCUUACCUUUUUGUAAGACAUCGAGAACAAGAGGCAUUGAAGUGAUUGUCCGGAGGGUUGAACUUGGUCGGGAACCAACAAUACACACUAUUCAAAAAUAGGGAUCAUAUUAAAUUAUUAAUGCAACCAUAGGAAGCAAUUGAGGACAAGGGUGUUAUUUGAUUAAAAGGGUAAUUGAAAACCUAAAUUUUGAAAUUUAACCCUCCAUUCUAUUUGGCCUUAUGUGAACAAAAAUGCCUUCAUUAUUUUCUUGUAAAAAUAACUCACCCAUUUAAACCUUACAUGAAAAUACUUAAAAUGGUAAAUGAUAUGUUAAAAAUUGAUUAUUUUUCAAAUAAAACAUAAGAAGGGUCAAAUUCAUGAAAGGAUUAUUUCAUCCCUUUUAAUCAAUUAAUUCGAUUUAUUUCUUUUUAUUUUUUUUCUCUCCAUGUUAAUUUUCACAUCACCCAACAACACCACUCUUAAUUCACACAAGUUUGAAGUUUUUGAAUGAGAUAUAUUCGUAAUUAUAUUGUAAUUGUGUUAUAAUAACCAUUUCGUACUUGGAUUUGUUCUUUCAGUCCAUUUAACCUUUUUGUUUAUUCAUGUCAAAACAAUGUACUUAUAAUCGAAUCCAUUUAUGACAUGUUGAUCUUAUAUAAAUUUAUUAAUUUUAUAUAUUUAAAAAUUAUAAAAAUUAAAUAUACUUUUUCAAUUAUGAAUAUCAUAUUACUAAAAUAUUAAAUAACAAAUUAACUUGAAAUGCUAUAUAUUUCAUUAAUUAUUUUAUAAUUAAAACAUUAAAUGAAAUAAUAAACAAGUAUAAAAUAGAAAAUUCUAUCUUAGUUAGAAAUUAUAAACUGUUAUUGAGACAUAUAAGUAUUAAAAUUCUACCCAUUUCACUACCAAACAACUUAUGUUUUUAGUCAUAAUUUAACCUUAUGAUGAACACUUAAAUAAAAUUUGUCAUCUUUUUCUAUUGAUUUAUAUUUAUUUAUUUAAAAAUUUUGUCUGGCAUAAACUAUCAUCUCACAAAAUCAUCAUUGAUGAGUAGGCUAUGCCCCAGUGUAAGCAUCUCCAAAUCAAACAUCAAUGAGAGGAGUACAACCAAUCAUACAUCAUCUUAUCAAAAUGAAUCUCCGCUUUUCAAAGUCAUCGUGGUAACGUGAAGAGAGUAUUUGACCUCCUCUAAAGAAAAAACAUGUCUUGAUGUGAAAAAGAUCAAGCAAAGUGGUAUGCCUCAACAAAAAUGUGCUCAAACAUGAUCAUGCCCCGAUGUAAGUUAGUAUCUCUAAGAUCAAUCGCCAAUGAAAAGGUUAUUCCCCAGUAUAGGGCAAACUCUGAAAUGACUAAACUCCGUUGCAAGCUCUCAUAAGUGUCUGUGUCAUGAUCCAAUCAUCGCAAAAAUUUGUCAACAAUGAUGAGAAGGCUAUGCUCCUAUAAUCACAUCAAAGAAAUCACUCGGUCAUAUUACUCCAAUGUGAAAGAAAUCUAAUCACCUCCAAGGAACAGCUAUGCCUCAAAACCAUCAUCGACUGAGAGGGGGAUGCCCCUGAUCCAAUCACCACCCUAACUAACGUACCCAUCAUGAGGAACACUUGUUUGAGCUCCAUAAUGGGGAUCAACCAUUAGAUGAACAAGAUUCGAAUAUUACUUGCUCCCCAUUUCAACCAAUGAAUGAUGUACCUGGAAACCUUGUAGACAACCAUAGUUUUCAGCCUUCUUCCUCGCGAUCAUCUAGAACAGAGUCGGUAAGCUUCACUCAUUUCUUAUAAUGGACCUUGACCCACAACGUCGAACUACCUGUAUGCAAAAUUAUCCGUCCAGAAAACCCAUCCAUACAAUUCAGGUUCAAAACCCACAAGAACCACCCUAUGAAUAAACUAAUUAUAGCUGGCUUCGUUGCAAUAGGCAUUAACUUUCUUAUGCUGACAGUCCUAGCAUCAUUUACCAAAGGAUCAACAACUUUUCCAUGUCAGAGAACAUUAUCAAUCACAAUGACACCCCUGGUCCUCACUAGUUGCGAUAGCAAUUUAAAGUAUUCUUGAUUCAAAGGGUAAACAAAACAAAAAAGAAAACCCUAAGUGUGACUCCUUAUUUGAAAAAUGUGGUUUAUGAAAAACCGGAUCGAGCUUAGGGGUCAGGUUACUUAUCGGGAAGGUACAAAAAAAACCGUAGCACCCCUCUAAGUCCCUAAAAUGGGUCUCUAUUGAUAAAAUGAAGCAAUCAUGGCAAUUGGUAAGGAAAUCAUUGAGUAUCAACAUGAUCACACAUUGAGAGUUAAAGCAUGCAUGAGGAAUGGUCAAAGUGAGAAAGGAUGCGUACCUUAGCAACGAGUCCCAAUGCGCUAUCAAGAAAUUGGGUUAGUGCACAAUCAAUAAAUAUAAAAUAUAACACACAUGCAUCACUAAAUAGGGUAAUAAAUCCCCGAUGACAAACCUUGCACUUCACUCAGGUUUAUUUCUACUUCUCUGAUGUUGGGCCCCACCAAAGCUCAUUUUAUUUUGCAUGAAUCAACUCCAAUAACUCCAUUAUUCGGAAUUACGAAAUUUAAUUCUUGCUUAUUUUAAAGCAUUUUAAAAAUAGAGGAGAUAUGAGAAUUGCUCGCCAGAAAAGAAGAUGGCGGCAAAAUUUUAAUGAAAAACGAGUUUUUGGAACCUAAGAAAAAUGUUAAGGAUGGAAAAUUUUGGAGGUUUGAAAUUAAUUAAAAAUUAGAAUUGAGGAAUUUAUUUACAAAAUGGGGUUUAGGAAAAUUAUUUUCAAAAAAAAAAAAUGAUGAAAUGAGAGAUGGCACGUGACACAAGGGUGGCCAUGCUGAAGGCGUUCUCUUCUGGCCCAAGCUGGAAAUGCACUCCAAUUAUCCUUCUUUUCUGGUAUAACACCUUCAUCAAAAUAAAUAGCUUUUGCACCAUACUCUGAUAGACAAGGACCAAUAACAAUGCCUAUAUUUGCCUUAAGUAGACAAAGUAAGUCACCCAUUGAACCUCCAAUAUAAAUUGUCAAGUGCUCUGUGUCAUUACUGCAUCCCUCCUUCAAGAUGUCCUUAGAAACCUAAAGCUUUUCCACGACAUACUCCAUCUUCUUAAUGAUUUCACCCGUGGAAAUGGAUUCUUCACAAGCCAACUCAUUUGAAUAUACUCUCAAAACACCCAUAUCACCUGAUGAAAAUGCUGAUCUAACGAAAUCGCCACACCAACAGUAUGAAAGUCCAUGAACAUCUGCUUUCAGAUUAUUAUUUUUAAGAAUCUUUUGGAAGAAACCUGUGCAACCAUCUUGAAGAAUUAGACCUUGACCAACCUGUUUUAUAUCAUCUGAAUUUAAACCCUUCAAUACUCCAGACUGAGUCACUCUUGAAUCUGCCUUUUCCUCAAAAUCAGAAAGUUGCUCAAGUGCUUUACAUAAGCCUUCAUAAUUGAAUUUUUCCACUGUUUCACUGGGGACGAUGCUUCCCAUGCAUUUUUCAAGCUCUUCAGUAUGCUGGGUAGAUAGAACACCCCAUGUGUGUGUCCAGAUCACCAUGAGUGACCAUUUGAACCUUGACGAAUGAGAGAGUACAUAACAUUUAAGCACACAGGACAUAUAUUAACAUUCUCCAUUAGCUUCUCUUUGCCUUUGUCCACCUCUUGACCUCCCAUGCAGCCAACUGUGAAGACCACGUCCAGGUGCAGUCACGUGGUGACACAUCUCAUGGUCUUCCUCAUCCAAUAAAUCACAUGCUCUGUUAAAUCUGCUACCCGAAUGGAUACCUCCUAUCCAUCAACCUGAAUAUACUCCGAGCUUUCUUCAUAAAACCCAAGAAACUCCAGAAGGCAUCAUGGUUCUCCUCCAUCAUUGAAAUGAUUAGGGAUAGUAAAUCACUCAUCCCUUAGCAAUAUCCCAUUUUUAAACCAUAGGGUGCGUAGGCUUCUAGAAUAGUAGCAAAGUGAGCAACACGGAAAAUCUUGCGUGGAUCCAAGUUCCAUGAUGGUGAUCGUAGCCUCACCUUUGAAAUCACAAGACCCAGAACCCAUUCGUUCUUCCUGGUAAUAACUAUCAGAUGCAUAGGAGGCAGGGUUCUUCAGAUUGUUGAUUUGGUAAAAGCCUCUUCUGGUUGAACCCCUGAAUGAUUCACUUUUCUCAGUCCGCAAACCUAGUUCAGAACAGCCCGCAAGAUCAGAACCUUAACCUAGGCGUGGAGAUCCAGUGUUGUAUAACGCCUCAAUUGUCGGAAGCAGCCAUGGCCCAAACAAUGAUAUAAUGGUCAGCAAGUUGUCCCCAAGGACCAUGACAGUGAUGAGCAUUUCCGGGCAGCGCGUCACCACGUUCCACGUCGCGACGGUAAUGGCUAUGGACUGAGUGUCAUGGUCAGGGAGCUUGAUGAAGCAGGUGAAAAUCUGGUGUUUUAGAUUCUGAGGCAAUGACUGCUUGAUCGGUCGGAUUCUAGUACCGGCGUUACAUUGGGGAGGCAAUCUUAAAGUUCCAACGGAGGUAGUAGUGGACUAAUAUUCCUCAAUAACCAAACUUGAGUUUCUCACUUUCCGCUUCUCAAGGCAUUCACCUGAAACGCUUCAGGCGCCCAAACCCUUUCUGCUCAUCAGUAUAAUCACGCGCAUGAAAGUCUUAACUGCCUUCUAAACUUCACAACUUCAUCUUGCAUCUGGGUCAUCGUCGGCACGAACUUAUCACCUGAUUCAGUUAAUAUCCCCAUAUAACAAGUUCCAAUGAAGUCGCAACUUUGCAUCUUCUUUUCUGCGAUUACUUUGAUUCUCAAAGCCGAUUACUUGUUGCAGUCCAUAGGAGAUUCAAUAAUCAAACAUCAUGCACAAGCAAAAAGGCAACAAAAUACAUCGGCAUGUGGCCCAUACACCCUCCAAAAUCUUCACUCAUUUAGUAAGUUUUAGAUUCAAAAGAGUUAGCCUUCUGGUGAGCAACCCGAUACCCAUAACGAAUGAUGUAUCUGAAACACCUUUCCCACGUGGCCCUUGAAGGAUUCACUAGAAGGUGACCAUGCAUAGUAGGUCUUCACUCGCAGGAGAAUGAGAAGGAAAUAAACCUAAAGGGGGGUUGACAGCGUAGUCUAGAAGGUGAUGAGCUGAGCGGGUGGGGGUAUUAGGGUGGUCAAGUUCAGUGGGUAUGAAGGGUGGAAAGAUGGCAUGAUAGAGGAAUAAGCAGCUGAUAGUGGGUGCGAUGAUAUAAGGUAGGUUGACUAUGGAGAGUAUGGCAUUAAAGGAUGAAGACUUAGAGAGAGAGAGGUGGGUUUAAGGGUAUGGUGAGAUGGAGGGUUGAGGGUGAUAGGCUUGGAUAGUUGCAUGAGGAGGAUGAAAGGUGGGUAUGGAAAAUGUGCAUGGGUAGGAAAUGGGUAUAACAAUGGGUGUGAAUAUUGAGAGGUAGUGAAAUGAAGGCAGCCUUGCUCGUAUGGAUCAGUGUCGGAUUGAGUUAAGAAUGGUGAGAGAAAGGGAUUCGAUGAAUAUUGAAUGAUGGAAAAUGGUGAUUGGUUAGAUAGGGAUUUGUGGUCGAAUGGAAAUAGGAGACAUGAACAUAGAGAUGAGUGUGAUGGAUGAUAGUGGGCAUGAAGGGUAUUGGAUUUGUUCAUGGGUAUAGUGGUUAAAAGAGUGGUGAGAAGAAAAAAAAAUGGCCAUGUAAAUAGCAAUUAUACAUGUGGGCCCGUGAUUGCAAACGGGACUGCAUUGUUGCAUCUCAUGCUGAACCCUCACCUCCUUCUAGGAUCAUUUUCUGCAUCAAAGCUAGAUAAACUUAGAUGGUAUUUCCUGCCAAUUUUGGAUGCCCCCCACUUUGGAAAUAUUUCCUUUUCACCCAUCAGAAUAUGCUUAUCAGGUGUACUUGACUCAGGUUCAUUCCCAUAUUGCCUCUCUGAUUUAUGAUCUUCAAAGGUUUUGCAUGAAGGAAGCCUUUCACUGCAUUCCCCUUCAUCCACCAGACCUUCAGAGCAUCGUUUCCAACAAAAGCAACCUUGACUCUUCUAGUCCCAUCAGAAAAAAGUCUGAAUAUCCUCAGUUUAUGUCAUCCCUUGAUGCCCAACUCAGAAAUGAUCCAAAAAACAGUCAUCUCCCAUAUUUGGCUUCCCAGAAACACCUCGACUCAGAUGGCCAGUCCAAAUGUGAUACCCAACAUUCUAAAAAUGCUAAAAACAGAGGAGAUGAUGAAGAAAAACAGAGCAUGUAUAAAAGAAAAAAAAAAGGACUGUUAAAUCUCACUCCAUUCCAUAAAUGCUAAUGGGGUGGAUAUGGUGGAAUCAAAAGGAAGCAAGAGCGUGAUCUUCAAAAUCAAAAGCAAUGAUGGAUCCAUAUUCAAAACGUUCCAGAAUAGAGAAAGACACAAAUAAGGAGCAGGGUUUUUUUUUGUUACUGGCAGGAAGAUAUUUUUUCUAGAGAGUAACUAGAGAGAAAAAUAGGAAGAAAAGGGAAGAGCAUAGAAGACAUCUACAUAGGAGAGUAUUCAUUGUUGUGAGGAGUAGUAGAGAGCUUAGGAGGAGUUACAAAGAGAGUGAGUUUGGUUAGAGGAGGAAGUUUUGUUGGUUUUUCAGAAAGGAUUCUAGCUUGAGUGAGAGCCAUUCUAGAGAGGGUUAGAGAGGAGAAAGGUGUGUUUUGAGCAGCAAAGACACGAAGCAAAAUAGAGCAGCCAGGAAAGAGAAGCAGAAAAUCAAAAUUACUAAAAAAUUAGUGAAAGCUGUGAAAUUUCAUAUUGUUACUAAUUAUUAUAAUUUUUUUUUGUAUUUUCAAUAUUUCAACCAAUAUUUUAUAUAAUUAAAUUUAAAUUAUAAGAAUUAUAUUAUUAAUACACAUAACUAUCUUAAUGUUUUAACAAUGUAUACUUAUUUAAAUUUAUUUCAAUUUUUUUAUUUUUUUAUAAAUAUCUAAUUAGACUUAUAAUUCAUUGAAAUUAUUCAUUUUUUUUUUACUUCAUAAACCAAUUAUAUUACUUUUUGUAUUUUCAAUAUUCAUUUGGAAAAAAUAAUUUCAAUUUAAAAUAAAAUAAAUUAAUUAACUCUCAAUUUAUAAAUUGUGUCAUUGAAUUAUUUUUUAUUUAUAAUAUUUAGUUUAUUUUAAAUUUAAUUUUUUUUCUUCACCUUUUGGUUUAUCACUUUAUAUUAAAAAAUAAAAUAAAAUUGAAUUUCUUUUAAUUUAUAUUUUCACAAAUUAUUCAAUAUUUUUUUAAUUUUUAUAAAAUAAAUCCUCAGAUUAUAUAAUUGGAUGUUGUAAAGAGUUAAAAUUUUUGUGUUGCAUUGAAUUAUUUUUUCUAACAAAAGUAUAUUUGGGUACCGUAGACAUUAUAUCCAUAUCUUAACGUAUUAUAUACUUUUAUUUUGUGCAAUUAGCAAUUGAGCGGAAGACGCGGAGCCGGCUAACGGAAAUACCGCGUGUCACGCGUGUCCCUUCCCGUACCAAGUCUCAACUGCUUCAAGAUUUCCGACGCGCCCUUCUUCGCUUAACUCUUAAGUCUUUUCUUCCACUCUUCCUUAAACCCAUCACAUUUCGCCGCGUGGACCUAAGUCUCAAUGUCCUUGUGUUCAUACGAUGUAUGUUCCCCCAAUUCCUCAUCUACACUGAAACUCCAUACUCGCCUACUCAAUCACUUCUCUACUCUAGAGUCUGGAUGCUUAUCUCUGCGCGUGUCGAUGGCUCUUCACCCCAGCGAGUAUGGCAUUACAAGGGCAAUAUCGUCAUUAAAGACACAACAGAGUGUCUAUUUUAUUUAAGCUGUACGUAAUCGUGAUUGACUUCUUAGUAUCCUUUUGCUCCUAGUCUUCUCCCGCGUCUCUUAUAAAAACUAAAGAAAACCACUCCAAGAGAGCACACUACAAGAAUCUUCUUCCUUUUUUUCUUUCCUCUUUCUCUUUACAGAUAAACUGAGAAAGCCCAGCUCAUCCCUCAAUUCCCAGAUGGGUUUCAUGAAUGUUCUCAAGUUCUCAGCUGCAUGCUUUGAUCUUCUUGGCUGGUAUGUUGUCCACGCGUUUUCUUGCCAUUGGAAAUUUUUGGGAAAUGAAGUGGAAUUCUCUGUUUGAGGACAAACAUGGGAUUUUCUUUGAUUUCUCCCUGUUGGUUUUAUCUAUAUUCUUUGAAUUACCCACAUUCUUGUCAUUGAUUGUUAGUCAUUUGUUUGGAUUUCUACUUGCAGGCCUCUAUGUGCACUGGGUUAUCCUCUGUAAGUCUUGGUCUUACACCUCAAGAUAUGAUGAUUCAUUUACUCUUUUCUUGUUCUACGAAUGGUUCAGUUACAUUUAUUGUGUUGGGAAACUGAAAAGGAAAAGGAUUAUUAGUUAUUAUCGUAAUAAUCAUCAACAUCAUCUCGGUUCUUCACAGAUGUGCUUCAAUUCGGGCAAUUGAGACUAACUCAAUCUCAGACUUUCGGAAGUUGGUGGCGUAUUGGGUUCUAUUUUCCUUGAUUUCACUCUUUGAUCAUGCUUUUUCCAAGCUCCUUGAAUGGUAAUUUUGCUCAACUGCAUUCCACUAUAUGUGACUCUGUUUGUUUCAUUUCUUUGCCCUUAAGGAAUUUGGAGUUGCUUUUUUCAGUUUUCUUUCCUAUGAAAAUAAUCGAGAGGUCUCCAUGUAUUUUAUAUUCCUUCAUUUCUCUGCUUUGACAAAGGCCCACAUUCUGAUCAGCAGAAAGGUUAUAACAUUUGAAAAAGAAGUGCUUUAUUUUUGUUUUUUGUUAGUACAAUAAUUUUCGUUUGGAUAAAUGGUCUGAAGGGUGUUUGUGUUUGGCUGAGUUCAUGGAAUUUUCUAGCUAAUUUGGGAUUUAUUCUCAAUUUCAAGAUCAUUGUGGAUAUGUCAGAAAUUAAUGAAAUAUAAACGGUGGAAUGUGAUUUUCUUGUUUAAGAAAAGUUUUUCUUUGAAAAUACGGGUGCACCUGACCUACCUUAUUGUGCUACUUGGAACACAAAACAUUAGUACAGGUAAUUUAUUAACUAAAUUGUACACUUUUUGAUAGUUCAAGGAGGUGGUUUUCUUCUUUUAGGGUGUCAGCUUUGGAAAUAGGAUGGAUCUAAAAGUUUUUAUGUCUCAUCUUUAUAGGGAACUUGAAAGCAUGGAUGCACUUAUUUCCAUGGAAUUUGGCUUCCUUGAAAUCAAAUUAAGCUUUAUGCAUCAUUUGGAUGCUGAGAAACAAAUGGAAAUAGAAAAUUCAGAAUCUGACAAGUUUUUGUAGGGCAACUGGAUCUAAUCUCUUAGUCGAAGCCUAAUUGGGGCAAAUGCUGAUCAUCUUUGGACCCCAUUGAAAGCUCUAAUCUGUGCACAAUUCUAAUGUUUUUGUUUUCUUCAUUUCUUUUUCAACUUUUCACAAUAGAUGUCAAAGGUUAAAACCAAAUUUACGCAGUCCAUCCAAGUGGAUGCAUAUAAAUUUAACAGAAACUGAAAUUCGAAGAAAUUUAUUUUCCCUUUUGUAAAUGGUGUUUAAAUAUUUUAUUUUCUUAUAUAAUGCAUGUCAGGGUACCAUUCUGGCCUUACAUAAAGCUGAUGGUCAUCUGCUGGCUGGUGAUACAGCAGUUUGAUGGUUCAUAUUAUGUCUAUCAACACCUAGUUCAGCCAUGCUUGUCCAUGGAUCCACAAGCUGUCAUGAACUGGCUCUUCAAUGAAUCAAAAAAGAAGUUUCAUAGCAGAGAAAACUUUCUUGUUUCAGCAGACCGAUAUAUUAAGGAGAAUGGACCUGAAGCUUUGGAGAAACUACUUUCUAGGAAGGUAUGCCAUUAUAAGUAGGAUUAUCAACAAGUCAAACAGAGUUUUAUUUGAGAUGUUCAGGUAAAAAAUGACUAUAGUAGGUCAUCUAGAAUCAUUUGGUCUAAAUUCAUGUAUAUAUCUAUAUAUAAUUGUGUUCUCUUUUUUUCACAUAUGCAUGUGCAUUUAGAUUUACAUAAUUAUAUAUGCAUAAUCAGAUUCAACUGUGAUAGCCCGGAAUUAUUUCAGUAAUCAACUCUUCUGGGAACAUGUUGGUUAUGGUUUCUCUCUCACUGUCCUCUUCUUUAUACAUGACUUUGGCUUCAGUUGAGGAGCGCAAAGCCUAAUGUUGAAGUGAAAAAGAUCAAAGCACCUGCAGCACCGGAGAAAAAAGGGGAACAGGUAAGUUCUCUAAUGUGACUAUUUAAUUUCUAUGAGGCAGAUCCCCAGAGAAAUGUUGCUCAUGUAAAUUACUGAUGCAUUUGAUUCAAUGGCAUGGUUUUAAAAGAAAAACCACUUUAUGUAUGUUUCUGUGAAUAAGAGAACAAGUUUAUGGAUUAAAUGAUAUUUUUUAUGGUGGAUUAAUCAAUAAUUUUCAAAAUAAUAAUAUAUUCGUGCAUGUUUUUGCAAUUCAUGAAUUCCUUUUAUGAUUGAUUCUUCUUGCCUUUUUUCUCACCUCAGUGGAAGUGUGAAGAGCCUAAUGUUGCUCAAAAGGAGAUCCAAGUUGUCAAAGUAACAGAGAUAAAAAAUGGGGGGGAUGGAGCAAAGAGGGUAAGUUUUGCUUUUUAUUUAUAAAGUAGGCUGUCUUCACACAAGGAUUAUUAUCUUUAAGACAUGAAUGUUGAAUGCUUUUGGAAUUGUCCAUGAAUCAUGUGUAGUGUGAAUGGCCUAAUGCUGCUAAGAAGGAGGUCAAAGUGACAGAAGUAACACACAGAACAUUCGGUGGUACAGCACAGUGGGUAAGGUUUCAUGUCAUAUUUAAAUGGCUCCUCAUAUUUCACUAGGAUUAAUUUUGCCCCUACAAACAUAUUUGGCUACAAGUUAAGACAGAGUUCCAGAUGCUGAUAAAGUUGAGACAUAAGUAAUGAAUGAGUUUAGAAACAUGCACAACUCUUGUGUGAAACACAAUGAGAGUGGAAAAUAGCUAAGUUGAAAAAUGGCCAAAUACUAUUUUGUAGUUCCCCCUACCACUUAAGUAAUUUUUGUCAUCCUUUGUGAAUGGAAAAUCCAGUCCCUUCAGUAAUUCCGUUAUAUUCAUGACUUGGUGAAGCAUAUAACCAUUAGUGUCUUGCCUUAAGUCGACCUUUAAUGAUGAUCCAUUGAGAUGGGUCUGACUUUUGUCAACCCUCUUAUUCCCUUGAUCAUAGAGGUUAAACUUAGGGGGCUUAACCCACUUUUGAACCUUAUUGGAUAUAUGGCACAUGGUAUCCUCUUCAUCUUGAAAGAGUGAAGUGGUCAUACUCUUUCCUCUGAGUCCAUUGUGGCCAUGCACUUCUGGCCCAUUGGGCUGAGUGAAAGGAUUCCCUUCUGCUUCAAAUCAUAGAGAGAUAUGCCAUGGUCAGCCUCUUUAAUUCAAGGGAUCGAAGUACUCAAAUCCAUUUCUCUGCAUCCAUCUUAAUUCUGCAUUCAUGUCUCAUGGUUAACCAAGAAGAUCCAGCUUCCAUCCAUGAGAUCAGCAUCUGCAGGUUUAUGACACCACCCUUCCUUGGCAUAGGAAAGGGAUCAUUAAGCCAUGUGUUGGAUGACAGAAGUCAUCAUUCAGGUUAUCUUGAGAACUAAGGAAGUUGGAAUUCUAAUUAUUGCAUAUGGUUCUUGAUGUUUAGCCAAUAUACCGUAGGAUUUUAAGGAUCAUGCUCAUGUGCAUUGUGGUUGUUUAUCAGCUAUAUGGUUUACCAAAAUGAGGGACUGAUUAUGGUCAUAAGUACCUUUUUCCUAUUAAUUUCUUGCAUGUGCUCUGCUGAGAUUAUGUUUUUGACAGUCCAAAUCAGGGCAAACCAACAAACAGCUUUAUGUUAACUUUUACAAACUGCCACAUUUUCAGGUUAAACGAACAGAGAUAAAUCUUGGUGAAACUAGAAGUAAUACAACUUGUGCUGUGGAGAUAAAAGAAAGGGCAGCGGCACUGGUGGCUGCAGAAAUUGAGGCAUGUAGAGACGAUAGAACCCCCAAGAUACCUCUUCAUGAGAAAGUCCAGAAAGAGUGGGCUUGUGCUGUAUGCCAGGUCACAACCCAAAGUGAAGCGACCUUCAAUUCCCACCUUCAAGGGAAGAGACAUCAGGCCACUUCUGAGCAGCUGAGAGCCAAAAACCAGGCAACCAAAACCAAUUGUUCCCCAUCUGCUUCAAUGGCCAAGAAAUCUGAUCAGUCCACCAAAGAGGAGCAACCGAAGUGUACUUCCAACAAUCUGAAUUCCAAAAACAAUGGAAUCUCAGCUGCUUCAACAGUGAAGAAACCUGAUGACACCAAAGAUGAUGAGCGACAAAAGUCUGCAUCUAGCAAUGAACCGAACCAGAAGAAUAACAAAAAGCAAGAGGUACAGACCAAUGAGCAAGGCCAUCAGAAGAACUUAAAGCAAACUGGCGAUGGAAUGAAAGAGUUGAGAUUAUGCUGCAAUAUCUGUAAUGUAAGCUGCACAAGUGAGCUUGACAUGGCCUCUCAUCUCAAUGGAUGGAGGCACUUUAAUAUGAUAAAGGAGGCGUCUGAAUUAUGGUGCAGUAACUGCAAUGUAAGGUGCAACAGUGAGGCUGUCAUGGCCUCUCACCGAAAUGGGAGGAGGCACUUGAAGCAGCUGAAGGAACGGUCGGGAUUAUAGUGCAGUAUCUGUAGCGUGAGAUUGUGUUAGGAAGAGGUGGAAUGGGUUCCAAUCAGGAAUUAAGACUCGGUUCCAAGACAUGGAAAGUGUCUUUAGAUUAUGUUAUCUCCAUUUUUUUUAUUGUGAGAGGGGAGUAUAAGGAAUGAAAAUAAAUAUAUAUAUAUUUUUUAAUAGAGAUGAAUUUGAUAAUUUUAAUUAUUGUGUUUUGAUGUAUUUAGGAAUGUAAAAUUAAAAUAAUUAUUUAUUUUCAUUUUAGUAUUUGACAAUAAUAAAAUUAUGAAUUAAAAAAUAAUGUGAUAAUAAUACAUUUAUAUUUAAUUUAAAAUAUUUUUUAUUUUAUUUUAGAAGAAUAUGGGUUAAAUUCUUUUUUUAAAUAAUAAGCUUAAGAAAAAUAAUUUUUACUCAAUAAAUAAAAUUAAUCAUAAAAAGUCAUAACAACCUAAUAAAAAUAUAGGGGUAAAAUAAUAAUUUUAAAAUAUUAUUUAAGUUAUCCAAACAAAUUUGACUCUUCAUUCUCUCUCUUGAACCAAAUACGGUCUUUUAAGCGUUUGUCAACUUAUUUUUUUUUGCAAAAUAUCAAUAUUUUACUAAUAUUUUUAUCGAUUAUUUGCCAAUAUUUAUCGCCACGUCACCAAUUCUUUGAGUUUGACUUUCAAAAUUUUGAAAUGAUAUUUGAAGUCCAGUUCAGCCCAAAUCACUACACCCAUGAUUUUUCCCUUUUCUUUUUCUCCUUAAUUUUCACAUCACCCAACAACACUACUCUUAAUUCACACAAAUUUGAAGGUUUGGAACGAGACUUCUUCCUAAUUAUAUUGUAAUUAUGUUAUAAUAACCAUGUCGUAUUUGGAUUUAUUUAUUCAGUCCAUCUAAAUCUUUUGUUUAUUCAUGUAAAAAGAAUAUAGUUAUAAUCGAAUCCAUUUGUGACAUAUUCAUCUUUUAUAAAUUUAUUAAUUUUAUAUAUUUAAAAACUAUAAAAAUUAAAUAUAUUUUUUCAAUUAUGAAUAUCAUAUUACUAAAAUAUUAAAUAACUAAUUAACUUGAAAUGUUUUAUAUUUCAUUCAUUAUUUUAUAAUUACAACAUUAAGUGAAAUAAUAAAUAGGUUAAAAUAUAUAUUUUAUUUUAGUUAAAAAUUAUAAAUUGUUAUUGAGACGUAUAACUAUUAAAAUUCUACCCAUUUGACCAUCAAACAAACAACUUAAGUUUUUAGUCAUAAUUUAAGCUUCUGAUAAACUCUAUUUCCAUAAAUUAGAAACCGAAAUCAAUUUCUUCUUAGACUCAAAAACAUAAAGACAAUCUUUUAAUUCUAGAAGACAUCUAUCAUUUAAGAUAAGGGUAACAUAUCCCAUUGCCUAAACAACAACUCUUGCUUCAAAAGCCAAUGUCAAGUACAUAUCCCUAUCAUUCAACCUUUCCCUUAGCUAAAACCCCUAUAAAGAAUUAUAAACAUAAUCAAUGGCUCCAAAAUUUAUCCACCAAGAGUUAGUGGAAUCCAACACUAAACAUAAUUCAACUAUAAGAGAAUGAUGCAUAGUUGACUAUCUCUUCAAGAACUAAGGACAUUCCUUCUUCUUCUAAUGGCAUUUUUUACCACAAAGGAAACACUUGUCAUGACCCUUACUCUUCUUCUUCUUCCCCUUAGCCUUAAACUUCCCCUUCUGCUUGAUGAACUCUAUAGUGUUCUUCUUAUUUUGGCUAGAAAAACCUAAAGAACCCUUAACUGCCAUAUAAAUACCUCUCUGGUCCUUGAGAAUUCCCUCAGUCAUUUUGUGUUCUCUCAUUAGUUCAAUUGUAGUUUAAGAAAAAUAAUGUUUUUUAUUUUAUUUUAUGUGAUUGAACUUGGAAUGAAUUUCCAAGUUGCAUACAUACUUGGGUUGAGAUCAAGUCAUAACGUAGUUUAAGAAAAAGAUUUUUUAUUUUUUAUGUGAUUGAACUUGGAAUGAAUCUCUAAGCUACCUACGUAUCCAAGAUGGGAUCAAGUUCUAACAUAGUCACAAUGCAGUUCAAGAUUUUUUUUUUUCUUUUUUUGUGCUCUAACUUUUGUCAAGACUAAAGAUCUUAAUCUUGCAAGCAUGUCCUAACUUUUGUCUAGGUCACCUUUCCAAGUUUUCAACUUAGCAAACAUUUUUUUUUUUUGUUCUCUAACGUUUGCCAAGACAAAAGAUUUUAAUCUUGCAAGCAUGUCAUAACUUUUACCUAAGUCAGAUUUUUAGGUUUUCAAUGUGGUGGAUUUUUUUGUUUUUUAUUUUUUAUUUUUUAUUUUUUGUGUCGUAGGCAAUUUAGCUCAUACGGCCCAGAAGCGAUGUGUAGUUUGUUGGGAUUCAACCCUUAAAAGCAAAACAUGAUGUAACAAAGUUAGACUUAACUAUCCCCUUGCUAUCAUUUUGGUGUAUUAACAUUGAUUUAAACAUUCAACUCAUAUUUUACAUUGUACAUGACUUAGGUGCAUUAGGAGUUGCUCAUAAGAUACAUGGAUUCCUUGUAAGUAGAUGAGUUAUCCAUAGUCAGUUCAUGGAUUUGGGCAAUCUAGUAGAGACUGUAAUGCACCACCUCUUAAUUGAAGAGAUGACUUGUCUUGACAGUUGGGAUAGGUUUCCUAUGGUGAGUGCACUAGUAUAUAUGAUGCACAUUGGAUAGGACCUACGGUAAAUCAUGAGCAAAGCUAUCAAUUGUCAUGAUUCACCAAGUUACGAUACUGCAUGGACUCUCAAUCUUGAGAGGACAUUGAACCUGUGCCAAAAUCAACAAAAAGCUUUCACCUAUAGAUGAGACCUUAAAGUGAUCAUAUAUCCCUAUGGAUUGAGUCACUAUUGAUGAAGGUUGGUGGUAAUAGGUAUUCUCAAUAGAGGCACCAUGAUAUCUCAUGAGAUUGAGACGGUGUGUCCCCUUGGGUGAUACAAAGGACAUGUGAUCAUAAAAUCUGUGACCAUAGUAAUUCUUUUAUUGAAAUUUGACAUAUACCCCUUCGAGCUAGAGUAUGUCAGUUGAUUACAUAAUAAGUGGCAUCUAUAACUUAAGGAUUUGAGAGGUAAUCUUGAUAGGUGAUAGCACUACCUUGUUAGAUUAUGGACACCAGUUCAUGGGGAAUCUACAUGCAGUGGAUGAUAUGUCACGAACGCGAGCUUCAUAUCGUUGUUAUUAACAUAGGAUACUGGAGUGCAAUUGAUUCUCUUUAGUAGAAUGUUGAAUCAACUUCAAAAUGGAUUAUGAGGGAGCCAAUACUCCUAUGGGUCUUAAUGGUCCCCACUCUGAGCUCAUAUACCAUGAUGACACAGUUUAUGAGGGUUUGAUUGGCUUUAUGUUCAUUUUUGUGCAUAAGGGCAUUUUGGUAAUUACACAAGGUUACAUAGGGGAUAGUCAAUAAGGUCUUUAGAUUGGGCCAAUUGAUUAAUUAGAUGACCUUAUGUGGUUAAUUAAUCAAUUAUGAUAUGUUUAGGCUAGAUUAAAUGACCCAAGCCUUGAUGAAUUUAAGUCACUUAAGCCUAGCAGAUAACCUUAUAAAUACCCUCUUAUGGGUUAGGGUUUCCUAAUGACUUUCAGUUAAUCAUCUUCCAUCCCUAGAAAGAGAAAGAGAGCCAAAUCUUUCUCCCUUCCAUUGCCCACACUUUGGUAUGCCAAGAUCAUGGUUCAAGUCACUGGGAGGAAGAUCUUGGGUGUACAAGACCUUCGGACUCUUUAAGUUUCUUCUUCGUUGGAUGAAUUUUUAUUUGGGACACAUCUAGAUCAUAAGUAUGUGUUAGAAAAUUUGGCUAAUUCAACUUAAGGUAAUCACUCUAGAGGAGGGGUGAAUAGGGUGAUGAUCUUUUUUUACAAAUUUAAAUUAUGUGAAUGCAAGAGACAAUUAUACUAUGCAAAUAUAUAGUAAAACCAUAUAAAAAUAAUUGCAUAUAAAGUACAAGGGUAGAAAAUAGAGAAUAUAAACACAAGAUUUUUAUAGUGGUUUGGUGCAACUCGGCCUACAUCCAUUCUCCUCUAGCUUCAAUCCCAAGUUUGAGGUUCCACUAAUUCAAGGCUUCCAACCUAACCCUUCAAGCAAUACAAUUGGAUUAUGGUUCCAAUCAAACCUUUUGGACUUUUGGCUCUAAGCACCUUUUACAAUCUUUGAUUCGUGCCUAACUGGUGUUUGCCCUGUUGAUUGGUGUUCAAUCAACUGAUGUGCUUUGAUUUCAGUCCUCAGACGAGAGUAAUCAACAAAAUUUAUAAACCUAUUUCACCAUAUACUAGGGUAGCAUUAGCUAGCAUAGCAUAGUGGCUCUAGGAUCGUCCACAGGGAUGGGUUUUCAAAUUACAAUUGAUAUUAGUUCAAAAACUGAAUUGGUGUUUUUUCUUUUCAAGGUUAGCUUUAAAAGAAAACAUAAGUAUGUGUGAAAAGGUUGGUUUUAAGUGAAACCAAAAAUAAAGUAACUGAAAUUACUUACAAAGAAAAGUGCUUCUUGGAGUUUUAGAUCACUAGGCUCAAGUUCCUUAUACAAAAAGAGAGAUUCCGAUCACUUGGAUCUUUUCCUAGCAUUGGGGAUUUAACAUAUAGUUAUUUCCCGAACCGGUGCGGUACAGAUGCUUCCCCUUAAUGGUUUCAAACACUAAAUCUCUAUCACUGAAUCAUCUUGUAAUGGUUCAUACCUCUCACCUGGUAUUGGUCAUUUAAGGUGAUCAUUAACCUUGGAUUACCCGUCAAAAGCUCGCAAAAGAUAACUAAUGAAUGUCUCCUAGGAGUCCAAAAGCUUACCAAGUGUUGGCUAUUCUAGAUAAUCCUACCUUUAAACCAUCUCCCAAAAGCUCGCAAGAGAUAAACUAGUGGAUCUCAAUGGACGGAGUCCACUUGCCUUACCAAGUGUUGGCCCAAGUGAUUUUAAGGGAUUUUAAGUUAACUAAAAAGAUAAAAACCAUUAACGGGUCACACUUUCUCUUCAUUAAAACCUGAAACAAUGAAACUUCCACUUUUGUAUACGAAACCUUACCUAGCUUCCUUCACUCCAAGAAACAAAAAGCCUAGCCACUCAUCCUCUAGGAAAACAUCCUCAGAGUUUGAUUUGGUAGAAAUAAAAAUAAAAGAGAAAACCAAAUGUGAAGGUAAGGCCGAGCAGAGCUCUGUGUAUUACUUUAUGAAAAACUAUACAAAAUUUGUCUCUAAGAGAAACUCCCCCGAGAUCUCUUUUAAAAGAAAAUUACAAUAGAUAUCAUAUAAAGAGGCUAUUCACCCCUCUUGCUAACUUCCCAACCAUGAAAACUUGUCAAUGGUGGGUUACAAGGAGAAAAUAGGGAUUUACACACAAAUAUUUGAAGAUAAACAUCAAACUGAGUCGGUGCGCAAAUAUCUCAGAUUACAAGUGGAUUUCGCAAGUUCAAACGCAACUUGCAAAAAUUUUGCAAGUUGAAAUUAUGGUUUCGCAAGUUGCGAAAUUGUCCUGCAACUAAUCAGCUCUCUGUCCUACAACAAUUCCUUUCCUCUUCCUAUUUCGCAAGUUGUGAGAAUUUCGCAAGUUGGAUUCCACAACUUGCAAAAUUGUUGGAUGGUUGAUUUCUUUUGUGAUUUUCUUCCUUGCAUCCUCAUUUGGCUUUGGCAAAGGGUUAUGAAGCUCCAAAGCUUAGUUUCUUCAUGAAUUUGAGCUUCAACUUGCUUUGCCAUGAACUAUACAAAGAUCUCCCUCAUUCUUGGAUUGCUUUGGUGAUAAAAAAGCUAUGAAAAACACCAAAACUUAACACAAUUUGAUUAGAAACGAUUGUAAGGGUCUUUAACAUGCCAAUUGAGUUAAAAGGUAAUAGCUACUACUCAAAAGUGUUUAAAAGAGUUAAUUACAAGCUAUAAAAUGACCCUUUUUGAAGUUCAACCCCUUAAGUGAUACCCCUUAAGUGAUACCCCUUAAUUCAAGAGAUGUCUUACUCUUAAACAACCCCUUAAGUGAUACCCCAUACUUGAGAUUCCCUAAGUGAUGCCUCACACUUAGAUUUUUCAUCUCAAAGAUUUACAAAUGAAGAUAGGAAAUAAUCUCACAAAAUCUUAAUACAAAACAUUAGGCUCAAAUGAUACAAGAUAAACUAUGAUUGAAUGGUGCACUAAUAAUAUGCAAGUUUUAAAACAAUGAGUACUAAAAAACACUCUCCUAAGGUUCAAAUAUAUUCAAGAAAGAUUUAAGAAGGUUAAACUCUUGAAACAAUAAAGAUUGAAACCUUUUUAUGGAGGAGAAAUGCCAAACUAGUUGUUGGGGGUUUGUCCAGUCGAGUUCUGGUUUGACCGGUUCACUAACCGUUAGCAUUUAAUGCAUGAUAGGUGAUCAUUGGGCCUUGACCAUCCCUCGACCAGUACUCAACCGGAUAAAGUUCAACCUUAAUCAAUCGAAUAAGCAUUCUAGAAUAGAGAGAAGGUUUUUGCACCUUUCAAUCAGUUGAGUUGAACAAAUAGACGGAUUCCUUAUCCAGUUCAACCGGUUGAGCCAUUUUUGGCUCAACAAUCAUCAUUUUCAACUUAAAACCUUUUAAACAAGUUUAGAAAGCAUUUGACACAAGGAUUUAGUUGAAAACAUUAAAUCAUCCUAUUUUUAAAAGAUUUAAAACAAAAUACCUCUUGAAUGAUUUUGGUGUAUAAGUAAAUAAUGUAAUGCAUGAAAAACCCAGUGCGCCAACAACCUUACAAAGAGAUCUUAUGAGGCUUAGGUAUUGAAAAACACUUCUCUUUAAGGCAGACAACAUCGUGUGAAUACCAAAGGGGAACUCUACGUUCCUAGGGAAAGAUGCCUCGUCAGUACGUCUUGAGGUUGUUCACUAACUUCGGGGUUACCGGCUUUGAGAGGAGCCCUUUGAUGACAUUUGGGCAUGCAACUCUUCAUUUUCUUCCUUGAUUCGCCUUGUUUGGUGGAUCAAAGAUUGCAUAUGCCAGUCAUUUUUGCACUAGGUUCUCUCCAUGCUUUCACGCCAGCCAAAGUAGCUUUCGUUACCCAUAGUUGAGGAUCGGCUUCUAAAGGGUACUAACAUCCUUAGUCAUUCCCACAGAUGACACCAAUGUUGGUUCUGAGUCGGCUGAAGUCAAAUUCAUCCAACUUAACGGAAGUUUGACAACCUUCCUCCAUUUUUUGUGCCUCUUAGAGAAUCCACCUAGCAGUAAUGAGAUUGGGCGAACUCCUUUCUUGCACAAAAGAAUGUUCAGAUGAGUACUUCGGGUACGCCCUUCGAAGCUUAAGUGAGGCAAAAAUAGCUCAAACUACUUAAUGAGAGAGAGUGGAUAGGUGAAUAUGUGCCUACCUUGUUCGUGCUUUUUGAGGGGUUUAUAUAAUGUUGAUGAGAAUGCCACUAUAGUGCUUACUAGACACUUUAACUUUCUUCUAUAAUGAUGAUUGUCUUGCAGGCGGUUGGGCAAUCAUCAAAAUUUUGGGUGGCUGAUAGGUGCCAUCAACUAACGUGCCAUGAUCUUAGACCAUGCAGUAACCUGUUCCCUCAGUCUGUUGAUGGCCUAAGGUUAUGUGCAACAAUUAAUUGACAUGGACUUGAGGGCUAGAAGAGGUCCCAUCGGCCGUUCACAUGUCAAGUGUGAAUGAUCACUCAUGCUAGUGGGUCUUGAAGAUUUGACUAGACAACCUUACCUAUUUGGGAGGUCCAACCUCCCAUUGCCGUUGUUUUGGCCUUAUAGGAGAAAAGGGCUUUCUCAUGUAUGGUGCUAGAGGGACUAGUCGUGAUCCAGAUGAGUUGCAUACCCAUGCUAGAUGGUCGAAGUGUCCGGGUUGGAAAUGGAGGGAAGCCUCCCACAAAUAUGAGGGAGCCUUAUGAAAACGGAUCCUUAGGGCUUAAGAAGGGGUUUUCAAUUUUAAGGUUUGCCUUUUCACCCAAGGAUGUGAAUGGGAAGAUGAGGCGAAGUUAAAAGAUUGGUGAAGCAAAGUGAGGGCAAGGUAGGGUUUGAAUAAAGGAAAGUAUACACUAUUAAUGAAGAUGAUAAUCUCUAGAAAGAAAAACUAAGGUAAACUAGGGCUUUAAUAAUAAUUUUCAAUCUACACUAGUGAAGAGGAUAUCUUCGAAAACCAAAGUUAGGGCUUCAAUAACGAAUUUCAAUCUACAAUGGUGAAGACAAUAAUCUUCGAAAACCAAAUCUAUAAUGAUGAAGAUGAUUGAAAACUAAAUCUAUACUAGUGAAGACGAUUGGAAAGCAAAUCUACACUGGUGAAGACAAUGAAACCAAAUGUAGGUCUUCUAAACUAAACGCUUUUAAGGAUUUUCCUUUUUUUUUUCCUUUGUUUUCAAGAAAGGCAAACUCUUUAGAAAACUAAAAAAACUAAUGCAUUCUUAGAUCCAGAUCACUAUUUCCAACAUGGUAUUUGGAUUGCCAGCUUGCAUUUUUUAUUUUUUUAUUUUUUUAAUAGUCAUUGGCAUUUUAGGGAUUAUUGAAGGAUAAUAUCAUUCAGCUCAAUUUCCCAAAUUAGUUAGGUCUUACACUCAAAUGUGAAACUUAUAUGGAUGUUAGGCCAAUUAUCAAACUCAUCUGCCCUAAAACAUAAUUUCCCUUUUUUAAAAUAGUUGUUAAACAUCUAUCCCAAACACGUUUAACCCUUUGAAUUGCUUGUAUGUUAACCUUGUUUCCUUUUCUUCAUGCAACAUGGCUUAUUGAUGGUUGCAUUGAAUCAUUAUCAUUCACCAAUUCCAUGCAACUAUGGACUACAUUUCAAAUCCCUCGAACAUAAAUGGUAAUUCCAAAACAACUCAAGUAUAAUCUUUUCAACCCUUUCAAAUGAUUUAAUUAAUUGAUUUUUGAAUAUAUUCAUAUAUUUUUUUGAGCAAUUUUUAGGCAUAUAACAUAAAUCUCUUUUUUAUAUAUAUAUAAAAGGUUUUAUAUUUUAUAUUACAAUUUCCUUUUGUUUUUUCAUCUAAAAAACAAAACAUAAAACCUUAAUAAACGAGUUUUGUCACAAUCCCUUAACAAGUAAUCUAUUUUUUAAAUUACUUUAACAUUUUUAGAUAUAUUGAUUCAAUCUAAUUUACUUUUAAUAUUUUUUAUAAAAUAUUUUUACUUUAUAUGACUAUAAAUUAAUUACUAUUGAUUGCAUAUUAUAGAAUAUAUAUUCUAAAAUAUAUCUUAUUGACAAUAUAAUCAUAAGAUGUUAUAUCCAUAUCCUAACAUAUUAUAUACUUUUAUUUUGUGCAAUUAGCAACAUGGUGGGAAGUGGCAAGCAGCUUAACGGAAAUGUCAUGUGCCAAUGUGCCAUGCGUGUCCCUUCCCUUAGUGAGUCUGAACUGCUCCAACAUUUCCGACAUGUUAUUUUUUACUUAGCUCUUAAGUAUUUUCGUCUCGUUUUCGUUAACCCCAUCACAUUUCGCCACAUGGAUCUAAGCCUCAUGGUCCUUUCGUUCGUACAAUGAAUGUUCCCCCAAUUCCUUAUCUACACUAAAACUCCAUACUCGCCAUCUACUCAACCACUUCUCUACUCUAGAGUUUGGGUCCUUUAUCUCUGCACGUGUCUAUGGCUUUUCACCCCAACAAGUAUGGCAUUACAAGGGCAAUAUCGUCAUUAAAGACCCAAAAGGGAAACCAAUGGCAUUAUCUUCCUUUUGGUCUAUUCUAUUUAUAUUGUAAGUUAUUCGUGAUGACUUCUCCCAUAAAAGCUAAAAACCACUCCAAUAGAGCACACUUCACUUCUUCAUUUUUUUUUUUCCAGAUAAGCUCAGAAAGCCCAGCUCAUCCCUCAACUCCCCGAUGGGUUUGAUGAAUGUUCUUAAAUUCUCAACUGCAUGCUUUGAUCUUCUUAUCUGGUAUAUUGUCCACGCAUUUUCUUGUCAUUGGAAAAUUUUGGAAAAUGAAAUGGAAUUCUAUGUUUGAUGACAAAACUGGGAUUUGCUUUGAUUUCUCCAUGUUGGUUUUAUCCCUUUUGUUUGAAUUGUCCACAUUCUUGUCAUUGGUUGUUAGUUAUUUGUUUGGAUUUCUACUUGUAGGCCUCUGUUUGCACUGGGUUAUCCUCUAUAAAUCUUGGUCUUACACACCAAGAUAUGAUGAUUCAUUUACUCUUUUCUUGUUCUAUGAAUUCUUAGUUCUGUUACAUUUAUUGGGUUGGAAAACUGAAAAAGGAAAGGAUUAUUCGUUAUUAUCAUAAUAAUCAUCAACGUCAUCUCAAUUAUUCACAGAUGUGCAUCAAUUCAGGUAAUUGAGACUAACUCGAUCUCAGACAUUCAGAAGUUGGUGGCAUAUUGGGUUCUAUUUUCCUUGAUUUCACUUUUUGAUCGUACUUUUUCCAAGCUCCUUGAAUGGUAAUUUUGUUCAACUUCAUUCCAUCAUAUGUGGCUCUAUUUGUUUCAUUUCUUUGCCCUUCAGGAAUUUGGAGUUGCCUUUUUUAGUUUUCUUCCCUGUGAAAAUAAUCGAGAUGUUUAAUGUUCCAAGCCUCCAUGUAUUUUAUUUUCCUUCAUUUCUCUGCUUUGAUAAAUCCCCAUGAUUUGAUCAGCAAAAAGGCUAUAACAUUUGACAAAGAAAUGCUUUAUUUUGGUUUUUUAAGUACAACAAUUUUCAUUUGGAGAAAUGGUCUAAAGGGUAUCGGUGUUUGGAUGAAUCAUGGAAUUUUCUCGCUAAUUUGGGAUUUAUUCUCAAUUUCAAUAUCAUUGUGGAUAUUUCAAAAAUUAAUGAAAUAUAUAUGAUGGAAUGUGAUUUUCUUGUUUAAGAAAAGUUUUUCUUUAAAAAUUUAGGUAACCCUGACCUACCUUAUUGUGCUACUCGAAACACAAAACAAAAGUACAAGUAAUUUAGUAACUAAAUUGCACACUUUUUGAUAGUUCAAGGAAGUGGUGUUAGCUUUGGAAAUAAGAUGGAUCUACUAGUUUUUAUUUCUCAUCUUUAUAGGGAACUUUCCAUAAUAUAGCUUAUAAAUACCAUAAUCACAGUGAUGAAUAAUUGUCUUGUUUGAAAGCAUGGUUGCACUUAUUUGCAUGGAAUUUGUCUGCGUUGAAAUUAAAUUAAGCUUUAUGCAUCAUUUGGAUGCUGAGAAACAAAUGAAAAUAGAAAAUUCAAAAUUUGACAAGUUUGUGUAGGGAAAUUGGAUCUAAUCUCUUAAUCGAAGCUUAAUUAGGGCAAAUGUUGAUCCUCUUUGGACCUAUUGAAAGCUCUAAUCUGUGCACAAUUCUAAUGUUUUUGUUUCCUUAAUUUCUUUUUCAACUUUUCAACAAAGCAUCAAUUUGCUAUAAUAAAUGAGAACCAACUUGACGAUGAGAAAAAUGACUGGUGAUGAUGUCAUAGAGAAUCGCAGAUGAGAACAACCAAAAAUACUAGGAUUGGUACCACUGAUGGUAAUGAAGAAAACACAAAAAUGGUGCAAAUGGUGAACAGGAAACUCAAAAUGGAAUGGGAAAAGAAACCUAAACAAUAGUCUCCUAUAUAAAGCACACAACAUGUACAUCGAGGCAUCUGAAAGGACACGCUGCCUGAGAAGUCACUCUAAUUGAUGUGACUCCUCAUGACGUGGGUGGUGGACAUAUGUCCCAUGGUGCCAAAAAUUUCAAACACUCAAGCAACCGAAUACUUUCACUUAGUCAUUUAAAGCCUAGCUAGACUCAAUUGCAAGAAUUAAGGGCAUUGUGGGAUGCUCACCACCGUCUAUCAUGGUCCUCAAACACUGUCUGGUGUGAGACAUAUUGGCACAAGAGCCAUGUAGCUUCUCUAUCCACCCCAAGAUACUCCUAGGGUAGCAAACGAACACAAUCCGACCAAACACUAUGCAUUCCUACCCUACAAGCAUUAAUUUCAAUGAGCAAUAAGUGUAUUAACACAUUAAUGAAUGCAACCGUUAUAACGCUAAAACGCCAUACUUUAAGGUUCAUCAAGACACAACAACCAUUAUGGGCCGACAAUUAUUGGCGUUAAAUAUGGUAAUGCGCAAUCAAAGGCUCAAUUAAGGCCCUUUAGAAGACGUUACUAUUGGGCAAAGAUAAAUAACCAUUUUUUACCACAAGAAAGUCUGAUGCCAUUUUUUUCACAAAAACUUUUGCUUAAGUCUUCCAUCUCUAACCUAAGCUUUGAAGGGGUGUACUUGGAAAACCUAUCCGAACAUUCCUUUAUGUAGGUGCAAUCAUCGUUUAUGUCACGCGAAGGCUAGUCAAAGACCUUUAUUGGUCGUGCACCAAUAAAUCUAUUUAGUAUAUCUCAUUUAUCCGUUCAAGUGAGAUGAAGGAGUGACCUAAAGAUAGAUUGGAAACAUCAUAGUUUCUUAUAUUGGUAAGGCAGCAACAACCUCGGCUAGUGCAUCAACCUGCUCGUUUUCCUCUAGGGGUACGCGUUUGAUAAACCAUUCAUUCAAUUUUUCUGUUCAAGUGUACCAAAGAGAGGUAAUGAGCCAUGCAUUCAUCUCAAGCUUCAUAUUUUAGUUAGAUUUGUUCACCCACUAGUUGUGAAUUGCUUUUGAUUUCUACUUUCAUGGUUGUGAGAGCUAAGGCUAGAUCGUCUCAUAAGAAUUGCUUCAUAUUUUGCCUCAAUAUUAGAUACUGGAAAGUUGAGACAGACGACUUGUUCAAUUUGCUCUCCUGUAAGGAAUUGUUGUGUUAGUCCUAUCCUAGCUUCUGAUGUUCUAGAGGCUUCGUCUACAUGGAGAACACGCCAUUGUUCUUCAUUGUUAGACCUUGUCCAUUUUUGGGGUGGUUCGACUAUGAAAUCAAUGAGAACUUGCUAUUUGAGAUACUAAUGAGGUUUGUACCGUAUGUAAUAUUCACUCAAUUUGAUUGCCCAAUUCACCAUUCGACUAGAUAGAUUUAGCUUGUGCAACGUGACCCACAACGGUUGAUUUGUCAAGACCGUUAUUUGGUGCGCCUGAAAAUAUGGACAAAGCUUCUUGGCAGCGAUCCGUAAGUUCAGAGCCAUUUGUUCCACUUAAGAAUAUCGUGUUUUUGUGUCAAUCAUAGCUUUUCUCACAUAGUAAAUAAGUCUUUGUUCAUUACUCUAAUUGUGUGGAAACAAUAUGACAUUGACAGCAAAGUUUGACACAACCAGGUACAUGUAUAACUCUUCUCUAGCUUCAAGACUACUUAAGAUUGGUGGCUUCGUAAGAUACUGUUUGAUGUCUUUAAAGGCAUGCUCACACUCAUCCAUCUAACUAGACAUCUUUGCUCCCUAGAGUUUGCUCAAGAAAGGUCUGAGCUUAUUUAUGAAGCGUGUUAUGAACCAACCUAAGGUGAUUAGACACCCAGUUAGACGUUGCACUUCCUUCUUGCUAGUAGGAGCAGGGAUUUCUAACACUACUUUCACUUGAGCCAGAUCGACUUCAAUACCCCCUUUGAGUCACCAUGAACACAAGAAACUUCCACUCACUUACUCUAAAUGCAUAUUUUAUUGGAUUAAGCUUCAUGUCAUACCUGCACAUUAAACUGAAUGCUUCUUCCAAAUGGAGGAGCUUCUUGGAACGAGUUAUUCUCUUAAUGACAAUGUCAUCGAUAUAGACUUCCAACGUUCGACCUAUCAAGGGCUUAAAAAUAUGGGUCAUCAACUGUUGGUACGUAGCUCCAAUGUUCAUUAACCCAAGCGACAUGAUCUUGUAAAAGUACAACUCCUUAUGUGUAAUAAAUGUCAUCUUCUCUUUGUCAUGUGGAAACAUUGGUAUCUGGUGGUAUCCAAAAGAAGCAUCAAGAAAAGACAACAUUCCAUGCCUGGUUGUGGCAUCGACUAUCUAAUCUAUCUAGAGCAAUGGGAAGCUAUCUUUCAAGCAGACUUCAUUCAUAUCCACGUAGUCUGCGCACACCUGCCAUUUUUCUCCUUUCUUGGUACCACUACCACAUUUGUUAACUAGUCCAAGUAGGUCACCUCCUUGAUAAAUCUUCCUUUUAAUAGCUUCUCAACUUCUAUCUAGAUAAUUUUUUGAUGAUCCAACUAGAAACGUCAGACUUUAUAUUGUAUGGGUCGUGCUGUAGGAAGAAGGUUCAACUUAUGAGAGCUCACCGCUAGGUCUAUUCCAAGCAUUUCCGAAUGAAUCCACACGAGGAUAUCCUUGUUUUUACAAAGCAUUUCACCAACAUUACCACAUUCAUCCCUAGUUAGCAAAAAAUUAGCGUAAGUCAUCUGCUUAUUAUUUUUCGACAAAGAUAGCUAUUGUAAUAGGCUGAUUGCCAAUGAGUCUCUAUCCUCUAGUUUUCCUUCGACCUAAUUCUAUAAUUGUUAUUAGCUCUCUCUUGAUGAUUUGAGUUCAUCUUUAGUUGGGCCUGAACUCCAUCGCCACUUAGUAACACUACUAGGUGGCUAAUUGGAUUCCAUGUGGAUCCACUUACCCAAAUUCUGUCAGGUAGCUCACCAUCUUAUGAUAGGUGGAUGGAAUAACUUUCAUCUUAUGUAGGUACGACAACCUUAUGAUGGUGUUGUACGACGGUAAAUCCUCUACUAUAGAAAAUCAUACGUUGAGAGUAGGCGGGUUGGCUUGGACAAGAAGUACCACGUCGCAUAGUGAUAUUGUGGCAACCCUAUUAAACCCAAACAAAAGUCGAACUAGAUUUUCUAAGGCAGAUGACGAACAUCCCAUUUUCCUGUAGGUUGACAUAUGCAAUAAAUUGGAAUGAUCAUUUUAGGAAGGAUCACUUGAUUAAUGUUAAUUGAAGGGAAAGUGAUUGGGUCAUUGACUGGUCGGGCACUUUCGACAGUAAAUGUGCACUGAACUGCACUUACUCUUUCCCUCCCUGUAGUCGCACAGAGCAUUCGUCUCCUUUGUUGUUUGGAGUGAUAUUUGUCAUCUACUAUUUCCCCAUGGAUAUAGUUAAUCACUACUCGAUGUGUUGUGGGAGAGUCAGGAACUCACUCUGACACUUCACGUGUCAUUUCUUUAUGUCCACCAGUUGCUCAGACAUACAACUUGAGAUGUCCGGUAAUGAUUAGUUUCUCCACCAAGUAGUGCAAAUUUUUGCACUCUUCUGUGGUGUGCCCAUGCUCCUUAUGAUAGAAUCAUCGCAAUCCUCGAUCAUGCUUGGACGAAUCAGUUUUGAUGGGCUCUAGCCACUUGAACUCGAGCAGCUCUCAAAUCAAGAGGAGAAUUCUAUCAUAAAAAAUGGUCAACGGGGUGAGCCUAGGCGAUUAUCAUUGUUGUUGUCUUUCUUGUCCUUGAUUAGUCUAUCUAGACUGGCUUGAGGGCUUUAAGCUCUUAGCCUUCUUUUUUAAUUGCUCGGUUUAUAACCAGGAUUUGUUGAGAGGUUACCUAAACAUCCUCCUCAAGCAUGACAUGUUUGCCCACUCGUCUAAAUAGGUCAUUCAUUGUAGUGGGCAACUUUUUGGCCAUGGACUUGAAGAAUUGAGUGCUUGGACUGAUGAUCCAUUUGAAGAUCUGCAGGAUAGCAUCCAUGUUGUAAGAUUCCAUCUAGAACACCGCUUGUCUGAAUCACUUCAUGAAGUCCCUUAGCGAUUCAUUCUCCUACAUCUGAAUGUUCUAUAAGGUGCUUAUAUUCUGCUUUUGGCGAGCAAAACAUAAAUAAUGGCCCACAAAGGCCUCUAAAACAUCUGUCAUCUGUUGUUGGAAGUGCAUCAGGUGAACAAAAGAGUCACCAUCCCAUAGUAAAUAGUAAAUUUGGGCACCGGAAACCCCUGGGCAGCUCAUAACUAAUGAUAUGUGGGUCAAACGACAUGAAGAGCAUGUCAUCCAAUCAUCUACUUAUGGAGUCAAGAGGGGCUUUUGUCAAUGGGUUAUUUGUCGAUUGUAGUUCUAGUAUUGAACAUUAAGGCAGACGGCUUGGUGAUGCCUCAUCGUUUGAUUGGCCUAAUUGUGCUUUCAAGGCCUCCAAUAUGCAUGGCGAUGCUAGUGUUCUUCUCUCCUGAUACCCAAGAUAGGCUUUCAGGGCAUCUGAGAGACGUAAGCCCCAUUCUUAACCCAUUUUCCAUUUUUCUCCAAUAGAGCUUGCAACCUCUUUCGCUUGAGUUCGAUCGACUACUGAAUGCACUAGUUCAAGUAAUGUUAGCGAACUGCUAGUAGACAAUCCCUCAUCCACUGUUUGUAGAGACGACUUAGUGUAUCAUUGAAGAACUUUCAUUGUUUGGCUUCAAACUACUCUUGAAGUCGUCUAUUGGUUGGAGGUACGAUGACUUUUUUAUCAGCACCCCAUAGCCACUUGUGCUCGUAGCUCUUGGUUCUCUUGCUGUAGUUGUUCUGCCUGUUGGACAGGGACUACAUAGGUUAUUCAUAUUCUUCUUGCUUUUUUUCUAUCUUUCCUUGCCAAGCUUGGAAUCGCUCGUCAACAUUUGCAGAAUGAGUUGCAGGAGGCGUGUUAACCAUCGUGUUUUUUAGGCAUUUGUGGUUGAUUCCCAUAGACAAUGCCAAUGUUGGUGCACGACCAGUAAAAAAAGGUGUUUGGCUAGUCUCCAUGUAACAUAGAUGACGAUUGCACCUGCACAAAGGAAUGUCUGAAUGGGUUUUUCAGGUACACCUUUCCAAAGCUUAGGUCAGAAAUGGAAGACUUAAGCAAGAGUUUUUGUGGAAAAAUUGGUAGCAUACUUUUCUUGUGGUUAAGAAUAACUAUUUAUCUUUGUCCAACUAUAAUAUCUUCUCAGAUGCCUUAAUUGAGCCUUUGAUUGUGCAUUAUCAUCUUUAAUGUCAAUGAUAGCCAACCCAUAAUGGUUGUUGUGUCUUGAUGAACCUUAAAGGUUGGCGUUUUAACCUCAUAAUGAUUGCAUCCAUCAAUGCGUUAAUGCACUAAUUGCCUAUUGCAAUUAAUGCUUGUUGGGCAAGAAUGCAUAGUGCCCGAUUAGAUUGUGUUUGUUUGGUACCCUAAGAGUACCCUGGGGUGGACAAAAAAGCCACAUGGCUCUUGUUCUAACAUGUCUCGACUAGACAGUGUUUGAGGAUCAUGUUAGAUGGUGAUGAGCAUCCCACAGUGAAGACGUAUGAUGAAAGCAAAGGUAGGGCUUCUAAACCAAACGCUUUUAGGGAUUUUUUUUUUUUUUUCAACAAAGUUGACCUCUUCAAGGAAAAAAAAAAAGGUUAAAAAAACUAUUGCUUUUUUGGAUCCAAAUCACCAUUUCCAAUGUGAUAUUUGGAUUUCCACCAUGUAUUUUUUUUUUUUUUAACAGUCAAGGACAUUUUAUGGAUUAUUGAAAGAUAAUAUCUUUCAACUUAAUUUCCUACAUUAAUUAAGUCUUAGGCUCAAAUGUGAAACUUAAGUGGUUGUUAGGCCAUCAAACCCAUCUGCCCUAAAGUAUAAUUUCCCAUUUUCAAAAUAUAUAGUUGUUAAACAUCUAUCCCAAACUAUUGUAACCCUUUGAAGUGCUUGGUAUGUUAACCUUGUUUCCUUUUCCUUAUGCAACAUGGCUAAUUGAUUGUUGCAUUGAAUCAUUAUCAUUCACCAAAUCCAUUCAACUAUGGACUUACCUUUCAAAUCCCUCUAACAAAAAUGGUAAUUCCAAAACAACUCAAGUCUAAUGUUCUCAACUCUUUCAAAUGAUUUAAUUAAUUGGUGUUUGAAUAUACCUCUUAUAUUUUUUUAGAGCAAUUUUUAGGCACAUAACAUAAAUUUCUAAUUUUUUUUUAGAAAAGGUUUUAUAUUUUAUAUUUUAUAUUACAACUUCCCCUUUUUUUUCCAUCUAAAAAACAAAACAUAAAACCUUAAUAACCGAGUUUUGUCACAAACCCUUAACAAAUAAUCUAUUUUCCAAAAAUUACUUUAACAUCUUUAAACAUAUUGAUUUAGUAUACUUUACUUUUAAUAUUUUUUGAAAAAUAUUUUUAUUUUAUAUGAUUAUUAAUUAAUUAAGAUUGAUUGGGUAUGGUAGAAUAUAUAUUCCAAAAUACAUCGUAUUGAGAACAAUAUCACAAGAUAUUAUAUCCAUAUCUUAACAUAUUAUAUACUUUUAUUUUGUGCAAUUAGCAAUUGGACGGAAGGUAGGGAGCCGGCUUAAUGGAAAUGUCGCAUCUCACGUGUGUCCCUUCCCUUACCAAGUCUCAACAAAGGAUGAAAAUAUCGGUAAUCACGGAUAUAUCGGUACUUCGAUUUUACGGAUAUAUUAGAUAUAUCAGAGAUAUAUUGACGGAUAUUUUGGAAAAAAAUAUCGAUAAGCCUAAAAUUGAUCAAAAUUUAUAAAAAUAUAAAAAAAACUUCAUAAAAAUGUAAUUAAAAGAAGGUCGUAUAAGUUACUCAUGUUGAUCAUGUGAUAUAUCACGAGAUAUAAUCGAUUUUUGGGAAUUUCUCACGAAAAUAUCGCGACAUUUCUUCCUUGUCUCGACUGCUCCAAGAUUUCCUAUACGCCCUUCUUCGCUUAGCUCUUAAGUCUUUUCUUCUCCUCUUCCUCAAACCCAUCACAUUUCGCCGCGUGGAGCUAAGUCUCAAGGUCCUUUUGUUCGUACGAUGUAUGUUCCCCCAAUUCCUCAUCUACCUUGAAACUCCAUACUCGCCAUCUACUCAACCACUUCUCUACUCUAGAGUCUGGAUGCUUUAUCUCCGCGAGUGUCGAUGGCUCUUCACCCCAGCGAGUAUGGAAUUACAAGGGCAAUAUCGUCAUUAAAGACACAACAGGCAAACCAAUGGCAUUGUCUUCCUUUUGGUCUAUUUUAUUUAUGCUGUAAGUAUUCGUGCUUGACUUCUCCCGCGUCUCUUAUAAAAACUAAAGAAAACCACUCCAACAGAGCACACUUCAAGAAUCUUCUUUUUUUUUUUCUUUCCUCUUUCUCUUUACAUAUAUACUGAGAAAGCCCAGCUCAUCCCUCAAUUCCCAGAUGGGUUUUAUGAAUGUUCUCAAGUUCUCAGCUGCAUGCUUUGAUAUUCUUGCCUGGUAUGUUGUCCACGCAUUUUCUCGCCAUUGGAAAUUUUUGGAAAAUGAAGUGGAAUUCUCUGUUUGAGGACAAACAUGGGAUUUUCUUUGAUUUCUCCCUGUUGGUUUUAUCUAUAUUCUUUGGAUUACCCACAUUCUUGUCAUUGAUUGUUAGUCAUUUGUUUGGAUUUCUACUUGCAGGCCUCUAUUUGCACUGGGUUAUCCUCUGUAAGUCUUGGUCUUACACCUCAAGAUAUGAUGAUUCAUUUACUCUUUUCUUGUUCUACGAAUAGUUCAGUUACAUUUAUUGUGUUGGGAAACUGAAAAGGGAAAGGAUUAUUCUUUAUUAUCGUAAUAAUCAUCAACAUCAUCUCGGUUCUUCACAGAUGUUCUUCAAUUCGGGCAAUUGAGACUAACUCAAUCUCAGACUUUCGGAAGUUGGUGGCGUAUUGGGUUCUAUUUUCCUUGAUUUCACUCUUUGAUCAUGCUUUUUCCAAGCUCCUUGAAUGGUAAUUUUGCUCAACUGCGUUCCACUAUAUGUGACUCUGUUUGUUUCAUUUCUUUGCCCUUAAGGAAUUUGGAGUUGCUUUUUUCAGUUUUCUUUCCUAUGAAAAUAAUCGAGAUGUUUAAUGUUCCAGGCCUCCAUGUAUUUUAUAUUCCUUCAUUUCUCUGCUUUGACAAAUGCUCACAAUCUGAUCAGCAGAAAGGUUAUAACAUUUGAAAAAGAAGUGGUUUAUUUUUGUUUUUUUUAAGUACAAUAAUUUUCGUUUGGAUAAAUGGUCUGAAGGGUGUUUGUGUUUGGCUGAGUUCAUGGAAUUUUCAAGCUAAUUUGGGAUUUAUUCUCAAUUUCAAGAUCAUUGUGGAUAUGUCAGAAAUUAAUGAAAUAUAAAUGGUGGAAUGUGAUUUUCUUGUUUAAGAAAAGUUUUUCUUUGAAAAUGCGGGUGCACCAGACCUACCUUAUUGNNNNNNNNNNNNNNNNNNNNNNNNNNNNNNNNNNNNNNNNNNNNNNNNNNNAUCAGAUUCAACUGUGAUAGCCCGGAAUUUAAUUCAGUAUUCGACUCUUCUGGGAACAUGUUGGUUAUGGUUUCUCUCUCACUGUCCUCUUCUUUACACAUGACUUUUCAGUUGAGGAGCACAAAGCCUAAUGUUGAAGUGAAAGAGAUCAAAGCACCUGCAGCACCGGAGAAAAAAGGGGAACAGGUAAGUACUCUAAUGUGGCUAUUUAAUUUCUAUGGAGGCAGAUCCCCAGAGAAAUGCUGUUCAUGUAAAUUACUGAUGCAUUUGAUUCAAUGGCCACGGUUUUAAAAGAAAAACCACUUUAUGUAUGUUUCUGUGAAUGAGAGAACAAGUUUAUGGAUUAAAUGAUAUUUUUUAUGGUGAAAUAAUCAAUAAUUUUCAAAAUAAUAAUACAUUCCUGCAUGUUUUUGCAAUUCAUGAAUUCCUUUUAUGAUUGAUUCUUCUCACCUUUUUUCUCACCUCAGUGGAAGUGUGAAGAGCCUAAUGUUGCUCAAAAAGAGAUCCAAGUAGUCAAAGUAACAGAGAUAAAAAAUGGGGGGGAUGGAGCAAAGAGGGUAAGUUUUGCUUUUUAUUUAUAAAGUAGGCUGUCUUCACACAAGGAUUAUUAUUAUUAUUAUUGUUAUUAUUUUAAGACAUGAAUGUUGAAUGAUUUUGGAAUUGUCCUUGAAUCAUGUGAAGUGUGAAUGGUCUAAUGCUGCUAAGGAGGAGGUCAAAGUGACAGAAGUAACACAGAGAACAUUUGGUGGUACAGCACAGUGGGUAAGGUUUCAUGUCAUAUUUAAAUGGCUCCUCAUAUUUCACUAGGAUUAAUUUUGCCCCUACAAACUAUUUGGCUACAAGUUAAGACAGAGUUCCAGAUGCUGAUAAAGCUGAGACAUAAGUAAUGAACGAAUUUAGACACAUGCACAACUCUUGUGUGAAACACAAUGAGAGUGGAAAAUAGCUAAGUUGAAAAAUGGCCAAAUACUAUUUUGUAGUUCCCCCUACCACUUAAGUAAUUUUUGUCAUCCUUUGUGAAUGGAAAAUGCAGUCCCUUCAGUAAUUCCAUUAUAUUCAUGACUUGGUGAAGCAUAUAACCAUUAGUGUCUUACCCUAAGUCGACCUUUAAUGAUGAUCCAUUGAGAUGGGUCUGACUUUUGUCAACCCUCUUAUUCCCUUGAUCAUAGAGGUGAAACUUAGGGGGCUUAACCCACUUUUCAAUCUUAUUGGAUAUAUGGCACGUGGUAUCCUCUUCAUCUUGAAAGAGUGAAGUGGUCAUACUCUUUCCUCUGAGUCCAUUGUGGCCAUGCACUUCAGGCUCAUUGGGCUGAGUGAAAGGAUUCCCUUCUGCUUCAAAUCAUAGAGAGAUAUGCCAUGGUCAGCCUCUUUAAUUCAAGGGAUUGAAGUACUCAAAUCCAUUUCUCUGUAUCCAUCUUAGUUCUGCAUUCAUGUCUCAUGGUUAACCAAGAAGAUCCAGCCUCCAUCCAUGAGAUCAGCAUCUGCAGGUUUAUGACACCACCCUUCCUUUGCAUAGGAAAGGGAUCAUUAAGCCAUGUGUCGGAUGACAGAAGUCAUCAUUCAGGUUAUCUUGAGAACUAAGGAAGUUGGAAUUCUAAUUAUUGCAUAUGGUUCUUGAUGUUUAGCCAAUAUACUAUAGGAUUUUAAGCAUCAUGCUCACGUGCAUUGUGGUUGCUUAUCAGCUAUAUGGUUUGCCAAAAUGAGGGACUGAUUAUGGUCAUAAGUACCUUUUUCCCAUUAAUUUCUUGCAUGUGCUCUGCUGAGAUUAUGUUUUUGACAGUCCAAAUCAGGGCAAACCAACAAACAGCUUUAUGUUAACUUUUACAAACUGCCAUAUUUUCAGGUUAAACAAACAGAGAUAAAUCUUGGUGAAACUAGAAGUAAUACAACCUGUGCUGUGGAGAUAAAAGAAAGGGCAGCAGCACUGGUGGCUGCAGAAAUUGAGGCAUGUAGAGACGAUAGAACCCCCAAGAUACCUCUUCAUGAGAAAGUCCAGAAAGAGUGGGCUUGUGCUGUGUGCCAGUUCACAACCCAAACUGAAGCGACCUUCAAUUCCCACCUUCAAGGGAAGAGACAUCAGGCCAUUUCUGAGCAGCUGAGAGCCAAAAAUCAGGCAACCAAAACCAAUUGUUCCCCAUCUGCUUCAAUGGCCAAGAAAUCUGAUCAGUCCACCAAAGAGGAGCAACCGAAGUGUACUUCCAAUCUGAAUUCCAAAAACAAUGGAAUCUCAGCUGCUUCAACAGUGAAGAAACUUGAUGAGACCAAAGAUGAUGAGCAACAAAAGUCUGCAUCUAGCAAUGGACCGAACCAGAAGAAUAACAAAAAGCAAGAGGUACAGACCAAUGAGCAAGGCCGUCAGAAGAACUUAAGGCAAACUGGUGAUGGAAUGAAAGAGUUGAGAUCAUGGUGCAAUAUCUGUAAUGUAAGCUGCACAAGGGAGCUUGACCUGGCCUCGCAUCUCAAUGGAAGGAGGCACUUUGAUAGGAUAAAGCAGCUGUCUGAAUUAUGGUGCAGUAACUGCAAUGUAAGGUGCAACAGUGAGGUUGAUAUGGCCUCUCACCGAAAUGGGAGGAGGCACUUGGAGCAGCUGAAGGAACGGUUAGGAUUAUGGUGCAGUAUCUGUAGUGUGAGUUGCAACAGCAAGGUGGACAUGGAUUCUCACCUAAAUGGGAAGAUUCACUUGGAUCAGAUCAAGGACCAGUUAAGAUUAUGGUGUGGGGCAUGUAAUACAACCUGCAAGAGUGAGCGCAACAUGGCCUUUCAUCUGAAUGGGAGGAAGCACUUAGAGAAGAAGGGGAAUACCUGAUUUGCAUGUUUCUUCAGAUUAUUGAUACUUACAAAUGGUUUUAGUUAGAAGCAUACAGGCCAGUGGGUGGUGGUCACAGAUGCCUCUAUUUUGUUGUAUGAAGUAAAAACAGUAUUUCCAUGUCCAGAAAUCAACCACUUGUUUAGUGCAUGCAUGGCUGGUUCAAAAUUAAACCUAAUUGUGAAUGACUAGGAGCAGGGAGGGAAAAAUUGAAGGGAAGAAUGUAAGAUUAUGGCUUCAUUUUUAUUUUUUCCUCUUCUGAAAAUUGUAAGAUUGUGUUAGGAGGAGCUGGAAUGGGUUCAAAUCAGGAAUUAAGACCCAGUUCCAAGACAUGGAAAGUGUCUUUAGAUUAUGUUAAGUUAUUUCCAUUUUUUUUUCUUUUCUAUUUUUUUUCUUUAUUUAUUGUAAGAGGGAGCAUAAAUGAAUUUUUAUUUUUUAUUUUUUUUUUCAGAAUAAAGAUGAAUUUGAUAAUUUCAAUUAUUGCGUUUGGAUGUAUUUCGGAACGUAAGAUUGAAAUAAUUAUUUGUUUUCAUUUUAGUGUUUGAUAAUAAUGAAAGUAUGAAUUAAAAAAUAAAUUGAUAAUAAUACUCUUACAUUUAAUUUAAAACAAUUUUUUAUUUUUAUUUUUAUUUUAGAAGAAUAUGGGUUAAUUUUAUUUAUUUAUUUUUUAAAUAAUAAGCUUAAGAAAAAUAAUUUUUACUCAAUAAAUAAAAUUAAUCAUACAAAGUCAUAAAAACCAAACCAAAAUAUAAGGGUAAAAUAGUAAUUUUAAAAUAUUCAUUUAAGUUAUCCAAAUGCAUUCCUACUCUUCAUUCUCUUGUACGAAAUACGGUCUUUAAGCGUUUGUCAAACUUAUUUCUUUUUUGGCAAUAUAUCAAUAUUUUAGUAAUAUUUUUAUCGAUUAGUUGCUGAUAUUUAUCGCCACGUCACCAAUUCUUUGAGUUUGACUUUCAAAAUUUUGAAAUGAUCAUUGAAGUCCAGUUCAGCCCAAAUCACUACACCCAUGAAAGGGAACGGCUGGGCCACCACACUAAUAUGGCCCAUACAUGGGACCUCGUAAAAGAAUACCCAUCUUCAAAAAUAGGGACCAUAUUAAAUUAUUAAUGUAGCUAUAGGAAGCAUUUGAGGACAAGGGUCAUGAUUUUUCCCUUUUCUUUUUCUCCUUAAUUUUCACAUCACCCAACAACACCACUCUUAAUUCACACAAAUUUGAAGGUUUGGAAUGAGACUUAUUCGUAUUUAUAUUGUAAUUAUGCUAUAAUAAUCGUGUCGUAUUUGGAUUUAUUUAUUAAAUCCAUCUAAAUCUUUUGUUUAUUCGUGUCAAAACAAUAUAUUUAUAAUCGAAUCCAUUUAUGACAUAUUCAUCUUUUAUAAAUUUAUUAAUUUUAUAUAUUUUAAAAUUAUAAAAAUUAAAUAUAUUUUUUCAAUUAUGAAAUCAUAUUACUAAAAUAUUAAAUAAUUCAUUAACUUGAAAUGUUUUACAUUUCAUUAAUUAUUUUAUAAUUACAACAUUAAGUGAAAUAAUAAAUAGGUAUAAAAUAUAUAUUUUAUUUUAGUUAAAAAUUAUAAAUUGUUAUUGAGACAUAUAACUAUUAAAAUUCUACCCAUUUGACUAUCAAACAAACAACUUAAGUUUUUAGUCAUGAUUUAAGCUUAUGAUAAACUCUAUUUACAAAAAUUAGAAACCAAAAUCAAAUUCUUCCUAGACUCAAAAACAUAAAGACAAUCUUUUAACUUUAGAAGACAACUAUCAUCUAAGAUAAGGGUAACUCAUCCCAUUGCAUGUACAACAAUUCUUGCUUCAAAAGCUAAUGUUAGGUACAUAUCCCUAUCAUUCAACCUUUCCCUUAGCUAAAACCCCUAUAAAGAAUUAUAAACAUGAUCAAUGGCUCCAAAAUUUAUCCACCAAGAGUUAGUGGAAUCUAACACUAAAAAUGAUUCAACUAAAAGAGAAUGAUGCAUACCUAACUGUCUCUUCAAGAACUAAGGGCAUUCCUUCUUCUAGUGGCUUUUUUUACCACAAAGGAAACACUUAUCAUGACCCUUACUCUUCUUCUUUUUCCCUUGCCCUUGAACUUUCCCUUCUGCUUGGUGAAUUCUACAAUGUUCUUCUUAUUUUGGUUAGAAGAACCUAAAGAACACUUAACUGCCAUAUAAAUACCUCUCUGGUCCUUGAGAAUUCCCUCAAUUGUUUUGUGUUCUCUCAUCAGUUCGGUUAUAGUUUAAGAAAAAAAAUGUUUUUUUUAUGUGACUAAACUUGGAAUGAAUGUCCAAGUUGCAUACAUACUCGGGCUAAGAUCAAGUCAUAACGUAGUUUAAGAAAAAAGAUUUUUUUUUUUUUUUUUUUUUUUUUUUUUUUGUGAUUGAACUUGGAAUGGAUUUCUAAGCUACUUACGUAUCCAGGAUGGGAUCAAGUUCUAACAUAGUCACAAUGCAGUUCAAGAAUUUUUUUUUUCUUUUUUUGUGCUCUAACUUUUGCCAAGACUAAAGAUCUUAAUUUUGCGAGCAUGUUCUAACUUUUGCCUAGGUCGCCUUUCCAAGUUUUCAAUUUAGCAAACAAGGUUUUUUUUUUCUUUUUUUUCUUUUUCUUUUUUUAGUUCUCUAACUUUUGCCAAGACUAAAGAUUUUAAUCUUGGAAGCAUGUCUUAACUUUUACCUUAAGUCGAAUUUUUAGGUUUUCAAUGUGGUGGAUUUUUUUUUUUUUUUUUUUUUUUUGUGUCGUAGGUAAUUUAAGCUCAUAUGGAUUGGAAGCAAUGUGUAGUUUGUUGGGAUUAAGCCCUUAAAAGCAAGACAUGAUGUAAUAAAGUUAAACUUAACUAUUUCCUUACUAUCUUUUUGGUGUAUCAACAUUGAUUUAAACAUUCAACCCAUAUCUCUUACAUUGUACAUGAUUUAGGAGCAUUAAGAGUUGCACAAAAGAUACAAGUUAUGGGUUCCUUGUAAGUAGAUGAGUUAUCCAUAGUCAUUUCAUGGAUUUGGGCAAUCUAGUAGUGACUAUAGUGCACCACCUCCUAAUUUAAGGGAUGACUUGUCUUGGCAGUUGGGAUGAGUUUCCUAUGGUGAGCGUACUAGUGUAAAUGAUGCACAUUGGACAGGACCUAUGGUGAAUCAUGACGCAAGGCUAUCAAUUGUCAUGAUUCACCAAGUUACUAUACUACAUGGACUCUCAACCUUGAGAGGACAUUGAACCCAUGUCAAAAUCAAUAGAAAGUUUUGACCUAUGGGCGAGACCCUAAAGUAGUCAUAUAUUCCUAUGGAUUAGGUCAUUGUUGAUGUAGGCUGGUUAUAAUAGGCAUUCUCAAUAGAGGCACCAUGAUAUGUCAUGGGAUUGAGAUGGUGUGUCCCUUUGGGUGAUCCAAAGAACAUGUGAUCAUGAAAUUUGUGGCCACAGUAAUUCCUUUAGUGAAAUUUGACAUAUGCUCCUUGGAGUUAGAGUAUGUCAAUUGAUCACAUAAUAAGUGAGAUCUAUAACUCAAGGAUUUGAGAGAUAAUAUUGAUAGGUGAUAACACUAACUUGUUAGAUUUAGACACCAGUUUCAUGAGGAAUAUGCAUGUAGUGGAUAGUAGGUCAUGAAUGCGAGCUUUGUCUCGUUGUUAUUUACAUAAGGUACCGGAGUGUAGUUGAUUCUCUUUAGUAGAGUGUUGAAUCAACUUCAAAAUUGGAUUAUGAGGUAGUCAGUACUCCUAUGGGUCUCAAUGGUCCCCACUCUGAGCUAAUAUACCAUGAUGACACAAUUUAUGAGGGUUGGAUUGACUUUAGGUUCAUUCUUAUGCAUAAGGGCAUUUUGAUAAUUACACAAGGUUGCAUAGGGGAUAAUAAAUAAGGUCUCUAGAUUGGACUAAUUGAUUAAUUAGAUGGCCUUAUGUGGUUAAUUAAUCAAUUAAGACAUGUUAGGGCUAGAUUAAGUGACCCAAGCCUUGAUGGGUUCAAGUCACUUAAGCCUAAUGGGUAACCGUAUAAAUACCUCCUUAUGGGUUAGGGUUUUCUAAUGACUUUUAGUUAGUCAUCUUCCACUUUUAGAAAAAUAGAGAGAGCCAAAGCUUCCUCCUUUCCACUGCCCACACUUUGGUAUGCCAAGAUCGGGAAUCGAGUCAUCGAACAAAAGAUCUUAGGUGUACGAGACCUUUGAACUCUUUAGGCUUCUUCUUCGUUGGAUGGAUUUUGAUCUGGGAACAUCUAGAUCACAUGUAUGUGUUAUAAUAUUUGGUUAAUUCAACCUAAGGUAAUCACCCUAGAGAAGGGGUGAAUAGGGUGAUGAUUUUUUUUUGCAAAUUUAAAUUAUGUGAAUGCAAGAGACAAUUAUAUGCAAAAUAUAUGGCAAAACCAUAUAAAAACAAUUGCAUAUAAAGUAAAAGGUUAAGGAAGAGAGAAUAUAAACACAAGAUUUUUAUAGCGGUUCAGUGCAACCCGACCUCCAUCCAUUCUCUUCUAGCUUCAAUACUAAACUUGAGGUUCCACUAAUUCAAGGCUUCCAAUCCAAGCCUUCAAGUAAUACAAUUGGAUUAUGGUUCCAAUCAAACCUCUUGAAAUUUUAGUUCUAAACACAUUUUACAAUCUUCAAGAGAUACCUCACUCUUGAACAACUCCUUAAGUGAUACCUCACACUUGAGAAUCCCUAAGUGAUACCUCACACUUAGAUUUUUCAUCUCAAAGAUUUAUCCGCUCUGCACCCACCUCCCGAGUAUAUGCUUCAACAGGAAUCACACAAGGGUAGAUUGAUACAAUAGAAACCUCUGGUAAAAUGCCCGCUCGUAACCCAGCAGAUAAAGUACAUUACAUAGUCCGUUUUAGGGAUUGGCUACUUACCCAUUCAGUGACUUUGGCACUGGACGUUCCCAAAAUGGGUACUAUCGGGUCGGGUGAAUUCAAUAAUAGACGCCUGUUGGCAUUCCAGCCUUCCUUCUCCUUUCAGGGCCUAUCCGAAAGAGAAUCCAGUACUUCUUGGUCAAAUGAAGAUAGGAAAUUAUUAGCCUAAGGACUCUCCUAAUCGGGUUUUGAUGAUAACAAACCAUGAUUAAAUGACUAAUUGGUUUAAUGGUUAAGAAUCUCAAGCAUAAACUCGAAAAUUCAUCAAAUGACCAAAUGGAUACAAGAUCGAGACAUUUGGAAGACUUGUGAUCAUAGGAAACUAAUGUAAGAUGAAUGCAUGAGUGCACUUAGGAUUUUCAUACCGUUUCAUACAAUUUAGAAAACUCAGUUUAUUCUUUAAAACUUCAAUUUCAUUAAAACCCGAGUUUUAACAAUUGUACCUCAGGCAAAAUGUUUUAAAAUUGGCAUAAUAAUUCACCUAAAAACCUUGCCUAAGUGUUAGGAAAGAAAGGAAUUGAAAAAGAUAGGUUUUCGGGGCCAAAAGGCUCAACCGGUCGAGGCUAUGGCCAACCAACUCAACCGGUUAGGGAAUCGGUCGACUGGUUACCCUUGUCCAGUUGAGGUCCGAUCGAAGGAUGCACAAAAUUUUCUCUCUCUCCCAGUAGCCUUCUCUUCCCGGUUGAGGUUAUUCUCUUCCCUGUCGAGGUCCGGUAUAGGCAACGGUAACCUGUCAAGCAUUAAAUGCUCCAACGGCUAGCGAACCGGUCAACCCCUAGCUCGACCGGUCAAGGUUACCUUUUGUUGUUUUUGACUCCCGAGCUUAGAAACCUAUAAAUUGAGAGCUCCACUUCAUUUAUUGACGAGAUAACACUUGCAAUCAAUUGUCUACCUAUUUGUUCUUGAUCAGAAAGCUCUCAUUUCUUUCUUAGUACAUUAAAUCAUCACUUGCAUAUCCUUUAGUGCACUCUUGUGUGUCAUCCUAGAUUUGUCUUGUAUUUGAGCUAUCUUUAAGCUAGGUUGAGGGAUUCAUUCUUGUAAAAACCGAGUGUUAAAGCCUUCAAGAAGUUUAAAUCUUGAAGAGAUUGUGUAAGAGUCCAUUGGAGCCAAAAUCCAAGUGUAAGAAGAUUGGAAGUUUGGUUGAAGUUUCAAGUUAGUGGAACCUUCACUCGGUUAGGAGAUUGAGGAGACUGAACGUAGGCAAAGAAGUGUCGAACUACUAUAAAACCCGAGUUUGAAUUCUCUAACUCUAGCUCUUUAUUUUGCUUAUAUUGUGCUUGAACUCGUUGUGAUUUAAAAGAAUUUAAAAAACCCCUAUUUGGGUGUUUUUCUUAAUUAAGCAUAGCCUUUAUUUUCUCAUAAAUAAUCUUACAAAAUCUUAGUACAAACUUUAGCCUUAAAUGAUACAAAAUAAACUAGGAUUGAAUGGUGCACUAAUGAUAUGUAAGUUUUAAAACAAUGUGUACAAAAAACACUCCCCUAAAGCUCAAAUAUAUUCGAGAAAGGUUUAAGAAGGUUAAACUCUUGAAACAAUAAAUAUUGAAACCUUUUUAUAGAAGAGAAAAACCAAACUACCUGUUGGGGAUUCGUUCGAUCAAGCUCUGGUUCGACCAGUUCACUAGCCUUUAGCAUUUAAUGUAUGAUAGGUGACCAUUGGACCUUGACUACCCCUUGAUUGGUACUCGACCGGAUGAAGUUCAACCUUGAUUGAUCGAAUAAGCAUUCUGGAAGAGAGAUAAGGUUUUUGCACCUUUCAACCGAGUAAGCUGAAUAGGUCGACUAAUUUCUCAUUCGAUUCAACCGAUUGAGUCAUUUUUUGCUCAACAACUAUUAUUUUCAACUUAAAACCUUUUAAACAAGUUUGGAAAGCAUUUGACAUAAGGUUUUAGUUGAAAACAUGAAAUCAUCCAAUUUUUAAAAGAUUUAAAACAAAAUAACUCUUGAAUGAUUUUGGUGUAUAAGUAAAGAAUGUAAUGCAUGAAAAACCCAAUGCACCAACAACCUUACAAAGAGAUCCUAUGAGUCUUAGGUCUUGAAAAACACUUAUCUUUAAGGUCUUCUUCUUCUUAUUGAUUUUAUCUUUGUGAUUGCCACUUUGGAAAUCAUCUUGCCUAGUCACACUUAAAAUAUAAUCAUUAGUUCUAAAUCUUGUUUUGUUAUCAUCAAAACUAAGAUUAACCAAACCUUGGUUUCACAAUAUGAAUAUUGUAUCUCUAGAUCUAUAGUUAAUAGUGGUUUUUAUAGUCAUUUGUUUCCAUUGCGAUAAAUUUAGAGAAGCUUAGGGAUAGAUGAAUGCACCCUAUGAGAUCUAGGGCAUAGGAAUGGAGUAAUCCGGGGUUCCUAACAUAGUUUAGGCUUGUGCUUCAUGGAGUGAUAACAAUUCUUCAAGCAUAGUUAUGCUUUAGAAAUUUGUUAUUGAUUGGUCCAAUUUUUAGACCAUCUUCAGCAACAAUCUUGUGUGCACCAUUGAUAUAAUCUUGUUAUACAAAAUAUGAUCUAUCACAUUUUUGGCAAGAACUUUCCACUGGUUUUGUGCAUGGUAAUGAUCAUGCAUGCAAACUUAACUAAGUUAUACACUAGAUGCCAAACUACUACAAUUCUUAUACACCUUCCCGUUUUGUGCAACUGAACAAUUCAACAUCAUAACACCAAAGUUCUUGCUUAGAUUUCCUACAGUGCUAAAAUUUUGAAAUGAUUAAUUUGUUUAUUUUUCUUUCAAUCCCAAGACCCACAUACAUCAUGUCAUGCCCUAAGACCCACUCUAAGGGCAUGACAAUCAUUUCACAUCUCAAGGUCGAAAGCUCAAAGUGUAAAUUGACCUUAACAUUCAUUUUGUAACUGGAAAAUUAUCAAUUACCAAAUUCAUAUUUAUAGUAGUAGAAUAAAAUUCUACAAGUUUCAAAUCUCAACUUUAAAGUUAACACAUCAACUAAAGUGUUAUUGUCCAAACAACUUCAAACUUAACAAUUCAAGCAAUCAUUAAAUUCUAACUUUCAAAAAAUAUUUUUUAAAAAUAAAGAUUUAACGAAAAGUCUUAGUAUUGCCAAAAUCUCAUCCUAACCUUCACUCCUAGCCUGAAUUAAGGUGCCUAAAAAAUUGUCAAUGAAAGGAAAUGAGAUCAACGCUCAAUAAGGAAUAUUAAUAAGGUUUCAUGGAUCAAACAUUUUUAAUUAUAAUUCCAAAUAGGAGAUAUAAUAUAUAAUCAUUUUCAUAAGAAAUUUUGAGUUUAAAUAUAAUAAUAUAUUGAAAACUUUUCAGCUAAACAUUUUCAUAUCUAUGUCAAAACAAUUUCAUAUCAAAUUCAAAUCAAAUAUAUACAAAAUAUUUUUACUUUGGUUAUCAAAUGUCACAUGGUGUCAAGUUAGGUGGGACUUUACAAAUUGGUGUCUAACCUCAAAUUUUUUCCUUUCAAGGUGGACGAAACCAAACACUACUAGUAUUAUUAACAUCUAACCAAAUCCCUAAAGGGUGAGAUCUAAAGCAAUUACAUUCUCCGCCAAGAAAUAUAAGGUCAACAAUUAUAACUCGUUGACUAGGGACAAAAAUAAACUAGAGUCAAACACCUUAUUUCAUUAAUUCAAACUUGCAAAACAAAAACAUCAUAUCUCCAUAAUUUUCAUUUUUUAUAAACAAAAGAAAUGUUCUAACAUAGUUUUUUCAUGAAAAAUAUAUAUUUGAUCCAUGCAUAAAAAUAAAAAUAAUUUUUUUAUUAUUCAAAAUAACAUAUAAAAAUAAAUAUGUUCUUUUGGCCAAAACAUGUAUUAAUUUUUCUUACCUCAAAGAAACACUCAAAGACCUUGAAGCAAUUAAUCCUAAAGAAUUUCACCCCAAAAAACAUAUUUCACACCUUACUAAAAAAAAAAAAACAAAACAAAAAAAUUACUAUUGAUUAUUUAUCUAAUAAUAGUUUUGUAUUUUAUAUCACCUAUAUUAUUUUUAACUUCCUAAUAAAUAACAAUUUAAUAAGCGAUUUUCCAAAUUUUUAAAAGUUAUGUUCUUUCCAAAAUUUAUUCAUAAUAUUCUAUUAUUAUUAUUAUUAAUUAAAUCUCUCAAAAAUAUGUUUUUUCUAUUUAUUGCAUUAAACUAUUAUUAUUAUUAUUCAAUUUCAAUUUGAUUAAUUGGUUUUUUCUUUUAAAUUCCUAAUUUAUAUAAGAUUCUUGUUUUGAAAAUCUUCCAUAUUUACUUAUUUGUUUAAAGUAAAUUUCUCCAAAACUUGUUCCUUUUGGUUAAACAAGUAUCUUUUCCUAUUAUUAUUAUUAUUAUUAUUAUCCCUAAUAUUAUAUUCAAAUAACUAAACAAUAAUAAUUUAAAUUAGUGAGUUUCCAAAUUUUUAUAAAACUCAUAUUCAUUCUAAAUCUUAUCAUAUAUAUCAAUUUCUUUUAUAUACUUAAAUUAAAUUAAAAAAUUUACUUAAAAAAUAUAUAUAUUAUAUUAUUACUUUCAACAUCCUUCUACCACCCAAACAAUUACUUCAAGUAAAAGUCAUAUAUCCUUAUUCUACUAACUAUCCUCUCUCUUGCAAUAGCACACUUAGGGAUGGCAAUGGGGUGGGUUCGGGAUGGAUCGCCCCUAUCCCAACUCCUCCCCAUUUAUUCAAAAUAAUUUUCAUCCUCGUCCCAUUUAAAAAAUUAAAUGAGGCAGGGCGAGUAUGAUAAAUUCUCAUAUUCGCCUCGCCCCGCCCCGUUUAACUCUUUUUUGAAUUUUUUUUUAAAAUUACUUUAAAAAUUUUUAAUUACAUUAAAAUAAAUAUAUUUUAUAAAUAAUUAAAUUAUUAUAUUUUUUAUAACUUAUUUUAUUAAAAAUAUUUUAUUAUUAUCUAUAUAUUAAAAAUAGUAAAAUAAAAAUUAAAUUAAAUUAAUUUUAUAUAUAAUUGGGGUGGGACGGGAUGAGGCAAUACCCAAACCUGCUCCGGGUUUUAAAAAAAAUUCUCAAACCUAUCCCAAACCCGUUUAUUAAAAUUAAAUCUCGUCUCAUUAGGGACGAGGCGAGUACCUGAAAAAACCUGCCUCAUUGCCAUCCCUAGGCAAACUUUCAUUUUUUUUUUUUUUUUUAUCUUUUUCCUCCUUAAGAUCAAUCCUAUUGUAAGCACCCUUUUUUUUUCUACCACAUCUUGUUGCAAGCAACCUUGUAAGUUUUUUUAAUUUAAAUUUUUUUUCCACUAUGGAGGCACGUACAACCAUAAAACCUCCUCUUUUUUUUAUUUUAUUUUUACAACUCUCAAAUCUCUCAACCUCCAUACUAUUAGGUUUUAUUCAUUUAUUUAUUAUUAUUAUUAUUAUUAUUAUUAUUCCAUAUCCAAAACUAUAAUUAAUUUUCUUUUAUAUUUUUUUAUUUUAGAUCUAUUAAUUUGAAUAUUCGAAAUUUUCUAAUCUUACUAAUAACUCUAAACGUUCAAAACUAAUUAAUGAAUAUAAAAUAUUAAUCUAAGGAUUAAAAUCUUAUAUAGAAAAUUGAUCUUUAAAUCCUAAACUCCCAAAUUUUCAACCUUACGUUGCCCUAUGUUGUCCAAUCUCUUAGAUCUCCAUGUAAAAGGGUUUUUUUUUUUAAUAGAGUAAAUAAGAAAAAUUUAAUUUAUACCUAAAAUUUUAAAAUGGAGAAAAAUCUUUCUACCCUUAUUAAUUUAAUUAAUUUUUUUAAAUUAUGUUUUUACCCUUGAAUUGGGUCUGGGCAUCACACAUCAUACUAAAAAGUUAUCAAUAACCAUCCUUUGAGGCACAUUAGCAUAAAUUUGCGACUUUAGUUGUGUUCUAGGUGCAAUUCUAUUAUGUUUAAUUGAAAAAUAACACCCAUAGCACAACCAAGCCUAAUUGACAGCAUUUGGGCAAAUAAAUGGUAAAUUUCUAAAAGUUCACCAAAAAAAAAAAAAAACAAAAAAGAUCAUAAAGGGCAUAUUUUUCAAGUCAACCUAGUUUUGGGAUAUUGCAAUCCAAUCUAAGAAUGCAAUAAUAGCUCUUUAAUUCAUAAUUUUAAAUUCACAAAAGAUAUCACCUAAAAUUACUAUAGGUUACCAAAACAUCAACAACAUAUAGAAAGCUUAGAAAUGCUUGGAACCUAUCGAAUUUUCACUUUUUAGGAAUAAAAAAAAAAUGAACUUUAAGGAUUUUAGGGUAAUACUUGCUUGAACCAUCUUUCAAUCCUUUUGUUGGCGGUGGGCCUUUUACCUAUAAGAACAGGAAUGAGAGGUGAAAAGGAGGGAGCCUUAUGAAAACGGAUCCCUAGGGCUUAAGAAGGGGUUUUCAAUUUUAGGGUUUGUCUGUUCACCAAGGAUGUGAAUGGGAAGAUGAGGUGAAGUUAAGAGAUUGGUGAAGCAAAGUGAGGGCAUGGUAGGGUUUGAAUAAGGGAAAGUCUACACUAUUAAUGAAGAUGAUAAUCUUUAGAAAGCAAAGCUAAGGUAAACUAGGGCUUUAACAACAAUUUUCGAUCUACACUAGUGAAGACGAUAUCUUCGAAAACCAAAGCUAAGGCAAGCUAGGGCUUUAAUAACGAAUUUCAAUCUACAAUGGUGAAGAUGAUAAUCUUCGAAAACCAAAUCUAUAAUGGUGAAGAUGAUUAAAAACUAAAUCUAUAUUGGUAAAGACGAUUGGAAAGCAAAUCUACACUAGUGAAGUCAACGAAACCAAAGGUAGGUAAAAAUAAUAAUAAUAAUAAUGCAUUCUUAGAUCCAAAUCACCAUUUCCAACAUGGUAUUUGGAUUUCCACCUUGUAUUUUUUGUUUUUAAUUUUUUCAAUAAUCAAGGACAUUUUAGGGAUUAUUAAGUGACAAUAUUCUUCAACUCAAUUUCCCACAUUAGUUAGGUGUAAGGCUCAAAUGUGAAACUCAUAUAGAUGUUAGGCCAAUCAUCAAACUCAUUUGCCUUGAAGCAUAAUUUCCCCUUUUUAAAAUAGUUGUUAAACAUCUAUCCCCAACACUUGUAACCCUUUGAAGUGCUUGUAUGUUAACCUUGUUUCCUUUUUCUCAUGAAACAUGGCUUAUUGAUUGUUGCAUUGAGUCAUUAUCAUUCACCAAAUCCAUGCAACUAUGAACUACCUUUCAAAUCCCUCGAACAUAAAUGGUAAUUCCAAAACAACUCAAGUAUAAUCUUUCCAAGCCCUUCAAAUGAUUUAAUUAAUUGAUGUUUGAAUAUACUUCAUAUAUUUUUUUAGAGCAAUUUUUUAGGCAUAUAACAUAAAUCUCUAAUUUCAUUUUAUUUUUUUUAUAAAAGGUUUUAUAUUUUAUAUUACAAUUUCCUCUCUUUUUUUUCAUCUAAAAAAAAAAACAUAAAACCUUCGUAAACGAGUUUUGUCACAAUCCCUUAACAGGUAAUCUAUUUUUAAAAAUUACUUUAACAUUUUUAGAUAUAUUGAUUCAGUCUAAUUUAAUUUUAAUAUUUUUUAUAAAAUAUUUUUAUUUUAUAUGAUUAUAAAUUAAUUACUAUUGAUUGCAUAUUAUAGAAUAUAUAUUCUAAAAUAUAUCCUAUUCACAAUAAUAUCAUAAGAUAUUAUAUCCAUAUCCUAACAUAUUAUAUACUUUUAUUUUGUGCAAUUAGCAACAGGGUGGAAGACGGCUUAGGCGGGAGACGGCUUAACGGAAAUGCCGUCUGCCAUGCGUGUCCCUUCCCUUAGUGAGUCUGAACAGCUCCAACAUUUCCGACACGCCCUUCUUCGCUUAGCUCUUAAGUAUUUUCGUCCCGUUUUCAUUAACCCCAUCACAUUUCGCCAUGUGGAUCUAAGCCUCAUGGUCCUUUCGUUCGUACGAUGAAUAUUCCCCCAAUUCCUUAUCUACACUAAACCUCCAUACUCGCCAUCUACUCAACCACUUCUCUACUCUAGAGUCUGGAUCCUUUAUCUCUGCACGUGUCUAUGGCUCUUCACCCCAGCAAGUAUGGCAUUACAAGGGCAAUAUCGUCAUUAAAGACCCAAAAGGCAAACGAAUGGCAUUAUCUCCCUUUUGGGUCUAUUCUAUUUAUAUUGUAAGUUUUUCGUGAUGACUUCUCUCAUAACAGCUAAAAACCACUCCAACAGAGCACACUUCACUUCUUCGUUUUUGUCUUUCCUCUUUUUUUUUUUUAGAGAAGCUGAGAAAGCCCAGCUCGCCCUCAACUCCCCGAUGGGUUUGAUGAAUGUUCUCAAAUUCUCAGCUGCAUGCUUUGAUCUUCUUGGUUGGUAUGUUGUCUACGCAUUUUCUCGUCAUUGGAAAAUUUUGGAAAAUGAAGUGGAAUUCUAUGUUUGAGGAGAAACUGGGAUUUGCUUUGAUUUCUCCAUGUUGGUUUUAUCCCUUUUGUUUGAAUUGUCCAGAUUCUUGUCAUUGAUUGUUAGUUAUUUGUUUGGAUUUCUACUUGCAGGCCUCUGUUUGCACUGGGUUAUCCUCUGUAAGUCUUGGUCUUACACCCCAAGAUAUGAUGGUUCAUUUACUCUUUUCUUGUUCUAUGAAUUCUUAGUUCAGUUACAUUUAUUGGGUUGGGAAACUGAAAAGGGAAAGGAUUAUUAGUUAUUAUCAUAAUAAUCAUCAAUAUCAUCUCGGUUCUUCACAGAUGUGCUUCAAUUCGGGCAAUUGAGACUAACUCAAUCUCAGACGUUCGGAAGUUGGUGGCGUAUUGGGUUCUAUUUUCCUUGAUUUCACUCUUUGAUCAUACUUUUGCCAAGCUCCUUGAAUGGUAAUUUUGCUCAACUUCAUUCUUUGCCCUUCAGGAAUUUGGAGUUGCUUUUUUCAGUUUUCUUCCUUGUGACAAUAAUCGAGAUGUUUAAUGUUCCAGGCCUCCAUGUAUUUUAUUUUCCUUCACUUCUCUGCUUUGAAAAAUGCCCACAAUCUGAUCAACAGAAAGGUUAUAACAUUUGAAAAAGAAAUGCUUUGUUUUGGUUUUUUAAGUGCAACAAUUUUCAUUUGGAGAAAUGAUCUAAAGGGUAUUGGUGUUUGGCCGAAUUCAUGGAAUUUUCUCGCUAAUUUGGGAUUUAUUCUCAAUUUCAAGAUCACUGUGGAUAUUUCAGAAAUUAAUGAAAUAUAUAUGAUGGAAUGUGAUUUUCUUGUUUAAGAAAAGUUUUUCUUUGAAAAUGUGGGUGACCCCAACCUACCUUAUUGUACUACUUGGAACACAAAACAAAAGUUUUUCUCGCUAAUUUAUUAACUAAAUUGCACACUUUUUGAUAGUUCAAGGAAGUGGUGUCAGCUUUGGAAAUAAGAUGGAUGAUUGUAGGGAACUUUAUUUCUCAUCUUUAUAGGGAACUUUCCAUAAUAUAGCUUAUAAAUAUCAUAAUCACAGUGAUGAAUGAUUGUCUUGUUUGAAAGCAUGGUUGCACUUAUUUCCAGGGAAUUUGUCUGCGUUGAAAUUAAAUUAAGCUUUAUGCAUCAUUUGGAUGCUGGGAAACAAAUGGAAAUAGAAAAUUCAGAAUCUGACAAGUUUGUGUAGGGCAACUGGAUCUAAUCUCUUAGUCGAAGCUUAAUAGGGGCAAAUGCUGAUCAUCUUUGAACCUAUUGAAGGCUCUAAUCUGUGCACAAUUCUAAUGUUUUUGUUUUCUUCAUUUCUUUUUCAACUUUUCAUAAUAGAUGUCAAAAGUUAAAACCGAACUUACGUAGUCCAUCCAAGUGGAUGCAUAUAAAUUUAACAGAAACUGAAAUUUGAAGAAAUUUAUUUUCCCUUUUGUAAAUGGUGUUUAAAAAGUCUGUGUGUAGUUUGGUUUUUUUCCUGGAAGAUCAGAUGAUUUCGUGAUCAUUUUUUCUAUUUGCCUUAUCAUCAUGAGAUUUAAGUAUUUUUUUUAAAAAAAUAUUUUAUUUUCUUAUAUAAUGCAUGUCAGGAUACCAUUCUGGCCUUACAUAAAGCUGAUGGUCAUCUGCUGGCUGGUGAUACCGCAUUUUGAUGGUUCCUAUUAUAUCUAUCAAUACCUAGUUCAUCCACGCUUGUCCAUGGAUCCACAAGUUGUCAUGAAUUGGCUCUUCAAUGAAUCAAAAAAGAAGUUUCAUAGCAGAGAAAACUUUCUUGUUUCAGCAGACCAAUAUAUUAAGGAGAAGGGACCUGAAGCUUUGGAGAAACUACUUGCAAGGAAGGUAUGCCAUUAUAAGUAGGAUUGUCAACAAGUCAAAUAGAGUUUUAUUUGAGAUGUUCAAGUAAAAAAUUACUAUAGCAGGUCAUCUAGAAUUAUUGGUCUAAAUUCAUGUAUAUAUCUAUAUAUAAUUGUGUUCUCUUUUUUUCACAUAUGCAUGUGCAUUUAGAUUUACGUAAUUAUAUAUGCAUAAUCAGAUUCAACUGUGAUAGCCCAGGAUUUAAUUCAGUAAUCAACUCUUCUGGGAACAUGUUGGUUAUGGUUUCUCUCUCACUGUCCUCUUAUUUAUACAUGACUUUGGCUUCAGUUGAGGAGCACAAAGCCUAAUGUUGAAGUGAAAGAGAUCAAAGGACCUGCAGCACCGGAGAAAAAAGGGGAACAGGUAUGCACUCUACUAUUUUAUUUCUAUGGAGGCAGAUCUCCAGAGAAAUGUUGCUCAUGUAAAUUAGUGAUGCAUUUAAAAGAAAAACCACUUUAUGUAUGUUUCUGUGAAAAAGAGAACAAGUUUAUGGAUUAAGUGAUAUUUUUUAUGGUGAAAUAAUCAAUAAUUUUCAAAAUAAUAAUAUAUUCGUGCAUGUUUUUGCAAUUCAUGAAUUCCUUUUACGAUUGAUUCUUCUCACCUCAGUGGAAGUGUGAAGAGCCUAAUGUUGCAGAAAAGGAGAUCCAAGUAGUCAAAGUAACAGACAUAAAAAAUGGGGGGGAUGGAGCAAAGAGGGUAAGUUUUCCUUUUUAUUUAUAAGGAAGGCUGUCUUCACGCAAGGAUUAUUGUUAUUAUUUUUAAGACAUGAAUGUUGAAUGCAUUUGGAAUUGUCGUUGAAUCAUGUGAAGUGUGAAGGUGCAAAUGGUGCUAAGAAGGAGAUCAAAGUGAUGGAAGUAACACAGAGAACAUUUGGUGAUACAGCACAGUGGGUAAGGUUUCUUGUCAUACUUAAAUGGCACCUCAUAUUUCACUAGGAUUAAUUUUGGCCUACAAACAUAUUUGGCUACAAGUUGAAGACAGCUUUCCAGAUACUGGUAAAAGUUGAGACAUAAGUAAUGAAUGAGUUUAGAAACAUGCACAACUCUUGUGUGAAACACAAUGAGAGUGGAAAAUAGCUAAGUUGAAAAAUGGCCAAAUACUAUUUUGUAGUUCACCCCACCACUUAAGUAAUUUUUGUCAUCCUUUGUGAAUGGAAAAUGCAGUCCCUUCAGUAAUUCUGCAUAUAACCAUUAGUGUCUUGUCCUAAGUUGACCUUUAAUGAUGGUCCAUUGAGAGGGAUCUGACUUUUGUCAACCCUCUUAUUCCUUUGAUCAUAGAGGUUAAACAUACGGGGCUUAACCCACUUUUCAAUCUCAUUGGAUAUAUGGCAUGUGGUAUCCUCUUCAUCUUGAAAGAGUGAAGUGGUCAUACUCUUUCCUGAGUCCAUCGUGGCCAUGCACUUCUGGCUCAUUGGGCAGAGUGAAAGGAUUCCCUUCUGCUUCAAAUCAUAGAGAGAUAUGCCAUGGUCAGCCUCUUUAAUUUGAAGGAUUGAAGUACUCAAAUCGAUUUCUUUGCAUCCAUCUUAGUCCUGCUUUCAUGUCUCAUGGUUAACCAGGAAGAUCAAGCUUCCAUCCAUGAGAUCAGCAUCUGCAGGGUUAUGACACCACCCUUCCUUGGCAUAGGAAAGCGAUCAUUAAGCCACAUGUCGGAUGACAGAAGUCGUCAUUCAGGUUAUCUUGCGAACUAGGGAAGUUGGAAUUCUAAUUAUUGCAUAUGGUUCUUGAUGUUUAGCCAAUAUACUAUAGGAUUUUAAGCAUCCUGCCCAUGUGCAUUGUGGUUUUUUAUCAGCUAUAUGGUUUACCAAACUGAGGGAUUGAUUAUAGUCAUAAGUACCCUUUUCCCAUUAAUUUCUUGCAUGUGCUUUGCUGAGAUUAUGUUUUUGACAGUGCUAAUCAGGGCAAACCAACAAACAGCUUUAUGUUAACUUUUACAAACUGCCACAUUUUCAGGUUGAACGAUCAGAGAUAAAUCUUGGUGAAACUAGAAGUAAUACAACCUGUGCCGUGGAGAUAAAAGAAAGGGCAGCAGCACUGGUGGCUGCAGAAAUUGAGGCAUGUAGAGACGAUAGAACCCCCAAGAUACCUCUUCAUGAGAAAGUCCAGAAAGAGUGGGCUUGUGCUGUGUGCCAGUUCACAACCCAAACUGAAGCGACCUUCAAUUCCCACCUUCAAGGGAAGAGACAUCAGGCCACUUCUGAGCAGUUGACAGCCAAAAACCAGGCAACCAAAACCAAUUGUUCCCCAUCUGCUUCAAAGGCCAAGAAAUCUGAUCAGUCCACCAAAGAGGAGCAACCGAAGUGUCCUUCCAACAAUCUGAAUUCCAAAAACAAUGGAAUCUCAGCUGCUUCAAUAGUGAAGAAAC
RNAcentral lists this long non-coding RNA (54687 nucleotides) under Vitis vinifera (wine grape). RNAcentral's name for it is "long non-coding RNA (VVIN_LNC000787)". Lineage: Eukaryota; Viridiplantae; Streptophyta; Magnoliopsida; Vitales; Vitaceae. The record is from RNAcentral.